This 52523-nucleotide long non-coding RNA is filed under the name Solanum tuberosum (potato). RNAcentral's name for it is "long non-coding RNA (STUB_LNC009430)". Lineage: Eukaryota; Viridiplantae; Streptophyta; Magnoliopsida; Solanales; Solanaceae. The record is from RNAcentral.
UACGAGGUAGGUAGGGUAAGGUCUGCAUACACUCUACCCUCCUUAGACCCCACCUGUGGAAUGGGUAUGUUUUUUGUUGUUGUUUUAAGAGGAGAAGUUGUAGAAUUGUUGGUAGAACCCUAUCACAAAUGUAGUUUCGAUGCUAGUUACGUAAAUAAACCUAACCAUGGACCUGUAUUCCAGUCUUAUAUCUAUUCUGAUCAGUAUUCCCAUCAUUCCAUUGAUCAGAAGGUAUCUCAAUUGACCCUUGUUACUGCUGUAAGGUGCAGUAAUAGGUAGGGCCGUAGGGAUGACAGUAUUUGAAUGUGUGACAUUUUGUACCCAAUACUAAUGUGCUACCUAGCUGUUGCACAUCCCUUCAAUUGUUCCAUGUCACCACUUUGAAAUCUUCUCUUGAUGGUUUCAUCUUUUUUAACCAAAUUGGACUUGUAGGACCCUUAGUAAAUUGUGAUUGCUAAGUUGCUUGCUGCUUGUUCCAUAAUAAUAGAACAUCUUGCAAAUUAAGGAGUUCUCGCGAAAAGAACAUGUCUGCAUUUGUUAAAUCCAAAUUGUCGGGCUGCCCUUGUUCUUGAAGUACUUGUGGAGAAAAACCAAGGCCUCUAUAUCUAUCAUGCUAACACUACAUAUGUGACUGUCUUAUCUUUCUUGUUGGUUGUGUUAGGCAUGGAGCUAUAUGUGUGACCAUGUACAACUUUGGAUCUCCAAGAGUUGGAAACAAAAAAUUUUCUGAAGUUUAUAAUGAGGUAUUGUUUACUCUCUGCAGAAGUGAAGUGCUUAUGUUGAGACUAACUAUAUUCUAUAUUGCCAUUAUGGUCUCGCCAUUCGUUUAUGACAAUCUUUUGCAGUUAUAAAUUAAAGCGGUCUUUACUUCUGAAACAAGUUAAUGAAAGAAAAACAAAAAACAAGAACCAAGAAAAGAAAGGAAAAAUUGACACACUAAUAAAUAUACACAAGCUGGUUCACAUACUCAGCCUUGCGCCCUUGCCUAAUUAUCCCUCCUCAGUAACAAUGGAUGAAAAUGAUUUUUGAUGUUCUCUCUCGACUCUCGGUCUCUCUUAUGGAGGUGGCUUGUAAUAUUUGAAGUGUGAAACUCUUGGGGUUUCAGAACAUGCUAUUGAAUAAGCAUUGGUGCGUUGUCCAACAUGUCAGACCAACUUUUAGCAAGUUUGAGCCAUAAUCAGAUGCCUUGUCACAUUGUUUGCCGAUAGUUCAUGAGAAUGUCUUGCCUGUUCUUUUAAUGUAACAUGGUGAACUGCUGUAACACAUUGUUUAGCUCUUUAAGAAAAGUGACCUUACAAAAUCACUUUCGCUUGCUUUGGAAUCGUACUGAGAGUUUAAUUUUGUUAAAUAUUGAGCGACUCUAUAUAACUUAGUUGCUUCUUAUAUUUUAGAAAGUUAAAGACAGCUGGAGGGUUGUAAAUCACAGAGAUAUAAUACCAACAGUUCCUCGCUUGAUGGGCUACUGCCAUGUUGCUCAACCCGUUUAUUUGGCAGCUGGAGAUCCGAAAAACACAAUGGUGAGUAGAUUUCAUUUUCAAACUUUUUACACUAUACAACGUUGGAUUGGUAGAAUUUUGGCACUGGUAAGGAAGUUUUGUUUUACUGUUAGAGCUUAAAGUGGAAAAAUGUGUCGGAUGGUUAGCUUAAUCUGAUGAAAAUUGCAGAAGGUUCAAAACAAUUGACCUUUGUUAUAUGUUCUAUAGAAUUAUUUACUCAAUUGCUCGAAAUAACUUUUUGAGAUUUUCUUCUUUGUUAAGGUAGGAAGUAUCGAGAAGGUCUGUCAUUUUUACUUAUUGUGUAUGGAAACCUACUAUCCCUCCCUGGAAAAAGUCAGAAAGAAAGUAUGAUCAUAUUUGACAUCAUUCCUUUUAUCGUUGAAAGGAGCUUGUUACUUAACUAAAUAUGUCUCGGGACAUUACAUUUCAGGAUAAUAUGGAACUCUUGGAAGAUGGUUACCAAGGUGAUGUUAUCGGAGAGGCCACCCCUGAUGUUAUUGUCAGUGAAUUUGUAUGUUUCUCCACCUUUGUUCUCCCGUGUCUUUAUUUCCUUCUUUUUCCGUUUUGUGUUCCAUUUCAGCCAUUAAUGAUAUGUUCUAUUAAGCUCUUGAACUGUUAAAAUUGUACUGCUACUUACCAUACAUUUGAUCACUUGAGACUUCUGUUUAUUCAUUUUGUUCAAUACUUAGCGUAAUGGAGGGUGUCCUUGAGCAUAAUGUCACGGACUUAGAGUUUUUGCUAAAGCUCCGUGUGGUGCUUGACAGCUUACUCACUACCCUUUCAAGAUCUUGCAAGCUCAAGCAAGCCUUUAAGAUUAAGAUCGCUAAGAGAAUGAAAGGAAAGACUUAGAAAGAACAAGAGAGCUUUGGAAAAAGGCUUUUUGUAUUGCUUUGGAAGAUUGCUUACAAUUUGAGUGAUGCCUUGCAAAUGAAUGGCACCUCUAUUUAUACUACCAUCUAAGGACUAAAGUGUAAAUUAAAAUUACUUUACAAGUCCCUAAGAUAUUUACACAUUGGUCCCUUUCUAGAGAAUUCUACAUUAUCUAGGACCUUCAGUAGCCUUCUUGAGAAAUCUAAAGGAUUCUAGAGUUCUCCACUAGCCUCUCCUCAACUCUAGAAUCUUCCGCCCCUAUCCGGAUGCGGAAUUUGACUGGCAAAGUGGCGGGACGUCACAAUAAGCUUAUCAAUUCACUCCAUUAGUUUCGAGUCAACAGGAAGCUAUGUUGCUCGGAGCCUUGUGUCGGAUCCUUCAAAAGCUAUGCAUUUUUGGAGGAUCCGACACAGGUUUGGCAACAUUUUUGGGAGGUCCGAGCAACAAUUGGGGGAGGGGAGCUUAUUCUGAGUUAUUUUUGCUAUAUGGAAAUUAUUUCCUUUUUAUUUAAAGGUAAAUAACUCUUGAGAAGCUCACAAUUACUUAUCGUAAUGUUUUGUGCAGAUGAAAGGUGAAAAAGAACUUAUUGAGAAAAUACUGAACACGGAGAUUAACAUAUUUCUAGCAAUCAGAGAUGGCAGUGCACUUAUGCAGCACAUGGAAGACUUCUAUUACAUCACUCUGUUAGAGGUACUUGCAUUUUCCAUUCACAUCUUACCAUUCUGAACUAUGUUGCUCGAACUCUUCAAAAAUGUCGACAAGUGCAUGUCAGAUCCGCCAAAAGUAGUGCACUUUUGAGAAUCCGACAUGUGUGCUGCAACAUUUUUGAAGAGUUCGAGUAACAUACAUAUGCAACAUGAUAUGUACUUACUUUUUUUAUGCUUUCUAAUUCUUUUUCUAGAAUGUGAGAUCAAACUAUAGAACUGUUCCAAGGCCACAGCUGACAGAAGAGAAGAACAUAUCAAUUGGCUAAAUUGGAAAUUAUCAAAAUUCACCAAUGUUGAUAUUUUAUUUCCAAAGGUUGUAAAUAACAAUAACACCAAAAAAAAAUUGGCUACAUUUAUUGUAUAUAUGUAUGAUUUUUAUUUAUGCAAUUGUACAUUGUUUGGUUAUUUUUGUUAAUUGUUACAAAAUUAAAAAAAUGAUAGAAUAAUGAAAACAAGUAAUUGUUUUAAAAUAAUUGCCUUGAACUAAAAAUAGGAUUUUUUUUUACAAACUACAAAGAAAUGGCAUGAAAGAAACAUAAGGACUUCCACCAGUUCUAUAUUUUACUAACCAAGAGUAUCAUUACUACCUAGAUCUUUGACUAAUAGAUAAAAUCAUUCUUCCUUUAAUCAGAGGUCUCGAGAUUUAAACUAUGAGUAUAGUGAAUAUCUCGAUAAGGAGUUCUAAUUUCACUUUAUGUUGAAUCGCGUUCCAAUACAGAUAUUGAACAUUGGGUAGAAAAAAACUAGUACUACCUUUUACAUAUGCAAGCUUUUUGAAAGAUUCUUAGAAAAGUUUGUUGCUUUCAUAUUAUAGCUCAUGAUUUUCAAACUUUGCCUUAAAAUGUCUACUUCCCUUUCUCUCUUGAGUUCUUGUUGUUCCUUUGAAGCUAUUUGCUCUUUUAGAAGUGCAAUUUUUUUCCUCUUUUUCUUUCAACUCUCUAUGCAUCUCCUCUAAUAAUUCCAUUUGUUCUGUUUUCCAACAUAGUCCUCUUCCUAGUCAAGCAAAUCAAACACAUUAGAAGGACAAAAAAACCGACUUUCUGACAUAACAACUGUUUGUUGAGUGACUAUCUGAUGAAAUUUAAACAUACCUUGAUUUGUCCUAUGAAUAAGGUCAUCAUCUUGAUAGCAAAAUAAAGUUGCUUCCAUUUCUCAAUUGCUUCAUCUCUCCUAGCUUCUUCAUUCCUAAUUUGCUCUAACAAAUAACUUGUUGCUAAUUGAUGCCACUCUUUAUCUUCUUUUACACUCAAAUUCUCUAUUCCUUCACACUUCUCUUCUUCUUUUUCUUCCAAUUUGAGAGAAGUGGGUUUUGGGGAAAUAUUUGGGUGUUUGAGUUUAUGACUUGAAAACAUCAAUAUAUAUACUUCCCCUAAAAAUAUCCAAAACACCCUCAUUUAAUUUUUUUUUUACUAGAAGCAAAAAUGCUGGAUGCAUUAGCAAGAAACUGUACAGGAUGCCAAAAUCUACAUUGACUUGCUAUUUGAAACUACAAGUUUGAUAUCAUAUUCCAACCUAGCCAUGUUUUUUGUGAGACAGGGAAACAUGUUCUCCUGUUUCGCAGAAUCCAACAAGCUCCGCGACUACUUCAGCACUUUCACGUUCAUUUUGCAUGUUAAGAGGAUCUGACCAGAGUUUAUUCACAAGCUGUAGGCGUCUCCUCUGUUUACCUUCUGGUGGAAUGUCCCAUUUCAUGUACAUCAUUUCCCUUUCUUCUGCAUUUAGCUUGGAGCUCACCCGAUUUUCCCUCUCCUGCUUCAGAGCUUUAAUACUUGAUGAGACAUAGCCAGCAGGGUCAUCACCCAAAGAGCAGGACUAGCGUUACCAAGCCAAGUGUUGGUCUAACCAUGUCAACUUCCAUGUAUAUCUGAUCUGAUGGAUCCCCUUUAAAUAACAUGUAAAAUUGAGUACACGUGACACAAAUGCCACAACAUUAUAAUUUGCUGCCUUUGGUCCUCAAACACCAAGUGCCAUGACAACGGAGAUUGUUCGGUUAUAUCAGCCUCAUCACUUGCAGCUUCAUUUGCUUCCAACUCCAGCACCUGGCAAGCAAGCAACUGCUUCUGGUACUGUAACUUAGCUACCCUUCCUUUCAGCUCAGUAACAUAAGCUUUAUACUCCGAAUGUUCUCUUCAGCUGCUUUUUUAAACAUCUUCUUCAUGUUAACAGAGUUUGACUGCCUUGAUCCAGGAGUACCCUCCCUCGAUGAGAUACAGUUACUGUCCAUUCUUCUAACUGGAGUGCUUUUUUGGCUACAGAAUGCAUUACCAGCAGAUCCAACAUUAUUGCAUUCUGGUGCUCUGUUCUCAAUCUCGCCCUCCACGAUGUUGCAGGAUGAAGGAGACAUAGGAGAACACGGUGAUCGAAUUAUAUUUGGCAUGUUACUGGUGUUACUCAAAUUAAAAGGAAGCACCUUUUUCUUUUUUGGAGUCCUCAAAUCAACAGAUUCCUGACAACUUGGAAGAUGCAUGACUAAUUCGUCUAUACAUCUCUGAACAAUUCGUCUAUAGAUCUCUGAACAUUUUCAAGUUUCUGUUCUAACAUCACCUAACCAGAUCUCAUUCCAGAAACUGAUCUUCAGGCCAUUCCCCACUCUGAAAGUGGCACGACCCAAGAUUAGUCCCUAGGCAUGACACGGCGUACUUGACCCCGAAGGGGUCUUACACAAGCCUCGUAGUAAUCAUUCAUUGCAUAGGUAAAUAGAAAUAAGCGGAAAAUUAAAACUUUUCUCAAGAAAGUCAACUUCUUGCAAUAUAAGGAAAUAGGAACUAGACUUGUCUCAAUCACCAUCUAAAACAUAGAGUACAAAUAGGGACUUAGCCCUUUACAUCAAUAAAGUCUCCAUAAUAGGAAAAUACAACAUAGUCUAGAUUAUAGAGGAAACUAGAAUCAAAACAUCUUGUCCUCGAACUUGAGGAUUCACCAAGCCGGGGGAAUAGUCAACCCAAGCUUCUCUUCAGAAAGUGGAAGAAGUAUCAACGACCCGAACCUACACUCAUAGUAAAGGGAAAAAGGGGUUAGCACAUAAAAAUGUACUAAGUAUGGAAAUAUGCAUAAAACCUUUAAAUAUGCUUUAAAAGGGACAUUUUAGGAAAAGCAUGCAUUUAUGAAGUUUGGAGACCAACAUAUAUCAACAAUGUCAAUUAUAAGCCAAAAGACACAAUUAUAGCCAUAACAUAACAACCCAUCACCUUAGCAACCUUUAAAGAAUACUUGUGCAAUGUAUAGUUGGCAUCCCAUAAUACCAACCACACUAAGUACCCUUUGAAAGCUACCUUGGUCAUGUAUAUCAUCAAUAGACUUUAUCAUAAACAUAAGUCAUAAGUGAAGAACUAAAAAUGUACAUCAUUUGAACAUAAGGAGAGUCAUGCAUAUCACUAUCCAAUAAUAAUACAUGCAUACUUUCAUAUUUCAUCAUAUCAUAAAGGAACUAUCCCAUGAGCCUCCUAAUAAGUCCACUUGUGCCAUGUACAAGUAAGGUCCCAUACCCCUACUUAUACUAAGUCAACCUACUAAGAAACUCAUAGUUUAGUCCUUAUCUUAUUCAUUAUCUUAAUUGCAUAGGGAAGAGUAACCUAUAACUGACAUAGACCAUAUGAGCUACAUGGAAUUCGGUGUCAUAUGACCCCACACCGAAAGAAGGCGUUCUACUUGCCUAAGGUAGAACAAACUAUAUAGCUAUAAGGUGGAUCCAGUAGCUAAGUCCUAUGUUGGCACAUAGUUCUAGGAUAGGGAGAUUGCUUCUGGAAACCCGACCUAUUGCAUUAGCGGAGGGGCUUCCAUCUCAUGAGUAUCACUAGGAUGACCCAACCUUUUGCAUUAGCGGAAGGGCUUUUUCCUCAUUGUCCAUAUCCACUCGGUGCUAAGAGUUACUUCCCAAAUUAUACGUUAAUUGUAUUUAGAUUGUAUCUAUAUGUGUGAAGGAAUACUAGCCUUCGUUCAAUACAACCAUCAUAAUAGCUCAUAGAUUCUUUAUAGGUGAGAAUGUACUUUCAACCUAGAAUCAACAUAUCUAUGUGAGUAAAACUUUCACAUCAUCAUUCAUAGUGUCUUCAUGAGAAACACACUUUCAAUCAACACAUCAUAAUAACAUCAUCCUAGACAAUUCAUAAUCAUAUGUGUGCAUAGGGAUAAAGGAAACUACUCUUUCAACAUUACCCUAAUUCACACAUAAGUCAUAGGAUCUUCACCUUUCAAGUGGAAUAACAAUUCAUGUAUUGAAAUCUUAAACAUAUAAUGUCAUCAUACAUUGCCUUCAAGGCUAUACAUUAAGAUUCAACUCUUACCAUUGACCCCUUCAAGGGUUACCAACAAUACCUUGUAAUUACACUAAGAAUUCUCACAUUAAGCAUAAGUAAAGCAAGAUUAAUCAACUAAUUCAACAUAUCCACAAUUGUAGGUAAUCACCUUGCAUCAAUACAUUCAUCAAUAUUCAAGAAAUUGGGGUCAUGGGGUGCACAUGGGUUCAAAGGGAUUUUCACAAUAUAAAUCAUCAAUUAACUUCAAUUCAUACAUAAUAUAGGUCAAAUAACAUAAUGAAAACGUUUUUGUUGAGAACCCAUGGCUAGAGUAGAAACCCUAGUUUUUGGUCAAAUAGUCAAUUUCGAAAAUAGAAGUUUUGAAGGGCUUCAUGGGGAAACUAUUCCAUAAAUCAAGAUCCCCAUACCUUAUUUAGUGUUUUGCCCACGUUUUGGUGUUGGAAUCACGAACCCUUGAGCCCUAAUCUUCAAGCUCUUGUGUUCAUUAAUGGAGAGACUUGUAGAGAGAGAAAUAUUUGAGGAAUUGGGUUUUGAGAGAAUGAUUUGGGUGUUGGUGUUUUUGACUUAGGAAUAGGUGUAAAAUGACUUAAAACAUAUAAAUAUUUUACCCCUAAACUACCCAAAACACCCCCACAUUAAUUGGACUAAAAAGGAAAUGACCAACUUGUCCCUCAUUAACCCCAGUCCGUCCAUGUUCACGAGCCAACCUUCACGAGCCAUGGUUGUGGGACCGAUGUGUUUGUGGUUUAUUAUGACGCGUCUCGAGUGGGUUUGGGAUGUGUCCUCAUGCAACGGGCCAAAGUCAUCACUUAUGCUUCAAGGCAACUCAAGGUUCAUGAGAAGAAUUACCCAACUCAUGACCUUGAGCUAGCGGCGGUAGUAUUUGCUAUGAAAAUUUGGAGACACUAUUUAUAUGGGGUACACGUAGAUGUGUUUACCGACCACAAGAGUCUCCAAUAUGUGUUUAGUCAAAAAAAGUUGAACCUCCGACAAAGAAGGUGGUUGGAACUUCUAAAAGACUAUGAUAUGAGUGUCCUAUACCACCCCGAAAAAGUCAAUAUGGUUGCGGAUGCAUUGACUAGGUUAUCCAUGAGUAGUGUUGCUCAUAUAGAAGAGGAGAAGAAGGAGUUGGUUCGGGAUGUGCAUAGGUUGGCUCGGUUAGGGGUGCAACUAAUGGAUUCCACCAAGGGUGUAGUUGUGGUACAUCAUAAUUCCAAAUCAUCGUUUGUAGUUGAUGUGAAAUCUAAGCAACACCUUGACCCAAUUUUGAUGGAAUUGAAAAAGUCGGUUCUCAACAAGUCCAUUGAGGCUUUCUCCCAAGGGGGAGAUGGUGUGCUUAGGUACCAAAAUAGGUUAUGUGUUCCGAACAUCGAUGGUUUGAGGGAGAAAAUUCUUGAGGAGGCUCAUUGUUCGCGAUAUUCGAUUCAUCCGGGCGCCACUAAGAUGUACCGUGACCUACGGGAAGUCUAUUGGUGGAAUGGAAUGAAGAAGGAUAUAACGGACUUUGUGUCCAAAUGUCCAAAUUGCCAGCAAGUCAAGGUCGAACAUCGAAAGUCGGGUGGUCUACUCCAAGACAUAGUUAUUCCCACUUGGAAGUGAGAGGAGGUGAACAUGGACUUCUUGGUGGGUUGCCUCGUUAAAAAAAGGCAAUAUGAUUCUAUUUGGGUCAUCAUUGAUAGAAUGACCAAAUCAACCCACUUCAUUCCCGUCAAGACUACGUUUUCGGCGGAAGACUAUGCUAGAUUGUACAUUAAGGAGAUAGUGAAAUUGCAUGGAGUUCCUUUAUCUAUCAUAUCGGAUAUAGGUCCUCAAUUUACGUCACAUUUUUGGAGAGCUUUCCAACAAGGGCUAGGUACAAGUGUUAAACUUAGUACCGCUUUGCACCCUCAAACGAAUGGUCAAGCCGAACGAACCAUUCCAACCCUAGAGGACAUGUUGAGGGUGUGUGUGAUUGAUUUUAAGGGAAAUUAGGACGAUCAUCUUCCAUUAGUAGAAUUUUGCCUACAACAAUAGUUACCACUCCACCAUUGCUAUGGCUCCAUUUGAAGCACUUUAUGGUAGAAAGUGUAGGUUACCGGUUGGUUGGUUUGAGGUAGGUGAGUUUGCUUUGUAUGGUCCCGACUUAGUAUAUGAUGCUAUUGAAAAAGUUUGACUUAUUAGGGAUAGGUUGAAGACGGCCCAAAGUCGACAAAAGUCUUAUGCCGACCAUAGAAGGAGGGAUCUUGAAUUUGAGGUUGGUGAUUGGGUCUACUUGAAAAUCUCACCCAUGAAGGGUGUGAUGAGGUUUGGUAAAAAGGGGAAGCUUAGUCCCCGGUAUGUAGGUCUGUAUCAAAUCUUGCAACGUAUUGGCAAGGUUGCUUAUGAAUUGGACUUGCCAAGUGAAUUGGCUCCAGUUCACUUGGUGUUCCAUGUCUCUAUGCUCAAGAAGUAUAUUGGUGACCCGGUGUCCAUUCUUCCUUUAGAAGGCUUAGGGGUUGAUGAAACUCUUUCUUAUGAGGAAGUCCCGGUUGAGAUCUUGGACCGGUAAGUGAAAAAGUUGAGGAAUAAGGAAGUGGUUUCCGUUAAAGUCCUUUGGAGGAAUCAUAUGGUUGAGGGUGCAACAUGGGAGGCCGAGGCCGACAUGAAGUCCUGAUACCCUCACCUCUUUCCUUCUACCCCUAUUCAAACUUGAGGUAACUUAUUUCUUGAGUUUUGUAUUUUUGGAGAUCUUGGGUGAUAUGAGUUUCCUUGUGAUUUCCCUAUUAUGUGCAUGUUCUUGUGAAGAUUCAUAUUUAGUACAUUUGAGUUUUCAUAAAUUUCAUAUUCCUCAUGUUGGUUUUGCACCUUAGUAUGAUAAUUGCAUAAUUGACCUUGUGAGAUGAAAUGAUGAACAUGUUUUGCUAUACUUGAGAUGAUAUGGCUUAUUGGCUCUUUUAUGUUAUGAUUAAGCUUAUUGAAAGUUGGAGAAGGUAGUUCCUCCUAUAGUUAUGAGAAAUGGUGAACUUGAUGCAUAAUGACUUGUGGAUUAGAUUCCCACUUUCUAGAGCUGCUGUAAUUUUGUGUUGGUAUGGAAUUGAUGUUUCCUUAUACGAAUUGUGCAUUAUCUUGAUGUUGUUGUUGUUGGGCUGCUAGUCUUGAGUCUUCGAUUACCAUAAGGUGUCGAAAGUAUCAUUCGAGGACGAAUGUUCCUAAGGGGGAGAUAAUGUAAUAUUCCGGAAAAUGAUAGGUUAUACUAGAGCCUAAAUGCUUGGUUAAAAAUCAUGAAAAUGACUUCCUAAGCUCUUAGUAAACCAUUUAGGGCUAAAAGGAUGUAUAGGGGGUCAAGAACAUGAGGCAAGUGCCAUGGCCAAGGGUCUAAGCCAAGGCCAAAAGGCCAAGGCUGCCCCUAGCCAUUAACUACUGUCCCACACUUCACGAGAGGGACCACGAGUCGUGGUCCUCACCACGGCUCGUGAAGGUGGGAGUGGCCUUGCCUUGGCCUUGAGAAUUUAGCUCCUAAAUCCCCUAGCUACUGCCUCACUUUCCACGGGCAAGACCACGAUCCAUGGUCCACUUCACGAGGCGUGAAGGUGCCUGUGAAAGUGACUUGGCCAAGGAGCUUGAUGCACCAAAAAGGAGGCUCACUGCCUCAAACUUCACGGAAGGGACCACGAGUUGUGGUCCACUUCACGAGUCGUGAAGUAAGGCAUGAAGUCCCCUUAGUUUUUGGGUGAGGAGUGCACGUUUGGGAGGCUACUGCCUCAACCUUCACGAGUGCAACCACAGUUCGUGGUGCACUUGACGGAAGGGAGGCUGCCUCGUGAAGUUGCCUUAGCCUCAAGGGAGGUUGGCAAGCUAAAGGAGGCUACUGCCUCAACCUUCACGAGCCGUCCUCCUUCACAUGCUAUAACCAUCCAUUACUCUACACAACCUCCCAAUCCCUUCUUUAAUUCUUCCGUCCGCUAGCUAUCUCCUCCGCAAUGGAACAGCGCCCCCACCAUCCAAUAAUUUCCGGCGCUUACUCCAGGUACGCUGCUCUAAACAUUAGCUUAUUCGAAUCACUUUUGUACAUACUCCAUUGUUCUCUUCUCCACUCUUUCUUGCACACAUGCUUUAUUGUUAUUAUUUUACAUAAUACAAUCGUAAUUAUUUGCUUCAAUUUCAUACAUAUUCCAAGAUUCUCUUCCAUACUCUUUCUUUCGGUAGGGUUGUAUUGUCAUUAUUCUUACAUAACCCUUGAUGUUUGAGCGAUACACAUAAUUAAUACUGAUUUAACUUUUGUUUCACUGCCCAUGAAUAUGUUCCUUAAUUUCUAACCCACCCCUGUUGUCAAUAUGUAAAACAACAAUCCCUUUGCACAAACUUUAUACCAAUGGGAUUAGACUAUUCCGAUAAUGUUACCUUUCUGCCCCAUAAAGCUCCAUAUGAAUAGCAUCAUGUUCCAACUGAUACUAAUUGAACUGAUGUUCCAUUUUUGAUUGUUGGCAAUUAGUUUCCAUAACACACACAAAUACUCACCACAAACUUCUGGAACAAUUAAACUGAAUUGGGGUGUUUUAAUGUAAGUACUGAGAUAUUUGAUUAACUCCCUCUAUAAUCUUUAUAGGGAACAAAUAACAUUAAUAAUUAUACUCAAUUUAGUUGAAUUAUAGCGUAAACUCAUAGAUCAAAAUUGUUACUGGGAUAGUUGAUGUUAAACUACAGGGAGAUUUGUAACUUCCAUUUGAUAGUCAUCUAAAGAACUGCAGUAACUGUGGACAGAAUGUAUGAAAAAGAACUGUCUACUACUGUUGAUGCGCCGCAACUUGAACAAAUCUCCUCUCAAAGCAGGUAAUCACCUCUCACCAUACAUUCUGAAAUUUACUCAAGCCUUUCAACAUUUAUUGAUUGUGUCAACCUCACACCCUUCACCUGCUUUGAUUGCUACAAUCUAUAACCACACCUAGAUAUUGUAAAUGUGGUGCCUCCUCUAACAGUUCACAUUCUCACUUCCUAUUUUAUUAAUCUAAUGUUUUACUUUCUAUAUCGACUCCCCAGGAGUCCUACUAUAGACGCAAACGAAUUCCCUCCAGUUGUGGCUAUAGCAGAACGUAAACAAAUCCCCGCUCAAUCCAGCUAAUCAGGUCUUAACAUACAUUGAUACAUUUAAAUGUUCACCAUUUAUUGGCUGCCUCACCUGUUAAGUCAUGCUUUAAAUGCAACAAUCUCUAACCACGCAGGACCAUAUCGAAUGAAGAAAUACCCUCAUCCACCCCUUCACACUUAAACCCUCAUACUGUAUUUCCAGGUAAUUCCCACAUUAUAACUUCUACUUCAUUAUUGUUGGUCACAGUUAACAUUUUGCUUUUCUCUUUCUUCAGUAAGUGAACUACCUCAGGACCCCGUUCAAUGGGCAUACGAUCAGUUCUCUAAACUGCGAAUCAACUACAUGAGGCGUGGAACCACCACCAGGCAAUUAACAAACGGAGCCACUGGCUUAUGUACUAAUAGAUUAUUAACUCAUGUUUACCUCUUUACUUUGCUAUCCGUGUACUACCAGUUACCUUGGAUUACUAUUAAGAUUGUUGUUGCAAAGUCAGUUAAUUUAUAACAAUUGCCUCCUAUUCUAUUUGUAUUACGUUACUUCUGCCCCUUUAAUAACAUGAUUUUAACUCAAAAUGCCGGCCUAAUUGCCAUUACCCAUGCUAGAUAUACCCACCGCAAUUCCCAUUUUACUUUUACAGAAAUUCUACAAAACUUUGGCGUCGUUACCAAUAUACUUAUACUUGACGUGGCCCUUUUAAAGCCCACUUUUGGCCACCAAACCUGGCUAAAUGUUUUACACAAUUGAAACUUCUGCGUUCUGCACCAAACUUAAUGUACGAUACUAUUUCCCCUGUUUCAUAAACUUAUGGACACAUACUAUUCUAACAUAAUGCUUUCCCGUAUCUCCCAAGAAUGCUAAUUCUCAACUAAAAUAUAUGUGGACAACUUAGGCUCCAGUGUGUUGGUUUUUUCCAAAUAAACAUUCUACGUUGCUGAACAUAGUUAAACAAACUAAUUUCUCAACUCCUACCAAAUCCAGAUUUUCCUCUAUCUUUGCUCCAUCAAAUACAGCCCCCCAACCAACUAAUAAAACACAUUAGGAUAACAUUAACAUGAGACUGGUGCACGGUGUCUCUCCAUUGCUUAAUGCUCACACUAUGUUUACGUUAGUAACUCAACUUGCAAAUGCACAUCCCUGCCUAUUAAAGGUCAAUAGGAAAUGACAUACUAAGUUACUAACACAAAUUGAACCUAAAACUACCCUAUCACAUAUAUGAUAAACCCAUUCUCAUUGAAUCAAAGUAGUCUACAACAUAUUAGAGAUUCGUCAAUUUAUUAUGCGAUGUUACUCGAUUGCAGGAAUUCACAAUGAAUUCGAGGAUCGAAGCACUGUUUCAGGAUUUCUCGAGAAAACGGUUAGUAAUGAAGAAGAAGAAGAAUAGAAAGAGAGAGAUUAGACAAAGAAAGAGAAUUCUGUAUAUUCCAUAUAUCUUGUACAAUGAGUUGAUUACAAGUUAUAUAGUAAUUGAAUUGAACUAACUUGAACUUUUAAGCUAAAAACAGAAUCUGUUACUAACUAACUGCUUAACUAACUUUCACUGAAGUUAACUAACACAUGGAAUUGUAACUAAUCAUGUAUCAGUACAUAUUAGAGAUUCGUCAAUUUAUUAUGCGAAAGAGUCGUCUAAAGAUCCAUUAAAUAACCACUUACCGAUCACACUUCCAAGAGAUUUACAUAUAAAUAAUGAUGCAUUUACAACGGAGUUUGUAGCCACUUCACAGGACAAUUACAAUUUAAUAUUACACAACUAAAACAUCAAUUCCCUAUCAAUCCAACCCUAAUUCAUCAUAAAAUAAGCAAUACUAAGGACAAUAAUUAACAUAGAACAAGGGUUUUACCUGACGACGCAAGAACCACGAUCAUGAACUUCAUCAAAGCACAUCAGCAGGCGGUGGUGGCGCGUCAGCAUCAGACUUCUCUAUAAAGUCUACUAGAAACCUUGCCAUAACUAGGAAAAGACCCAAUAUAAUUGUCACGGAACUCAACCAACUCUUAAACCCAAAAUCUCUAACGACAAGGUUUACCAGCCAUCCAGUUACUGCAUAGUGAAUGCCCCCGUCACUUGACACGGGCCUAAACAACAUUAGUAAACAAAAAAUGCUGAUUAGAAAUGAGCAAACCUCUAAAGGUACCCUUGGAUGUCCAGAAAAGUGCAUCAAUGAGCUGCUCAAAAGGCUUAACGUACUUGAAGUCAGGACAAUGUAAAAAAGGGGUAAUGUCAUCAUGAAGUUUUGCAAUAUGAAAGAUCAAGUGACUGACAUCUUCACCCAAGGCUAAGCAAGGACCAGUUUGUCAAGAACAUGUAUGUACUCACAGUGACUUAGCUGAAGGGAAGAACAUAACACAGUGUGAUCAGGGCAAUUGAUGUUUGAACAAAGAUAGGGACCUGGUACCAGUUCAGAGAAGAUGCUGAAAAGGUUUCAUGUUAUGGAUGCCUAGAUAAUUCAUACUCUCAUGGGCACUAACUUGAAGUUGGAUGUUGAUGAACCUGGUUCAAAGAUUUCAUUCUUGUACAAAAGAAUCACAUUUGAAGGCUGCUGAGAGAAUCUUGAGACAUUUGUAGAAGAUAGGGGACCCGGUCCUAUUCUGUCCAUCAUGAGACAUUUGAUUUGGAGUACAUGGUGAUGUUGAUUAUGCUUGGUAUCAAGUUGAUGGAAAGAGUACCUCAGGAGUGGCUUAUUCUAUAGGUUGAUCUCUCACUCAUGGGGAACUAAAAGACAAGAUUCAGUUGCUCGUUCAUCAACUGAGGCAGAGAAUGUAGCAAGUGCAGCUUGAUAUGAUCAAUUCUUGUAGAUCAAGCAGCAGCUUGAAACUCUUAGAAGACCUGACUAAGAUAAUCAAACUGAAGUUGGGAAUGCUGAAACCGGCUUGAAUGGAUCAUGCCUGAAGCAAUCAACUCUCUCAUGACUAUGCAAUUGAGCAGGUAUCCUUGUGUUUCAGUUAUACAUAUUUUAGCAAGUUCAGUCUUAUACCCUUUGUAGGUAUACACACAUGGCAAAAGGGCUAAAGGAAAAGGGAGGUCAAGACAGAUCUAGGCUAUCACAUUCAAACUACAGAGAGGGUCUGGAAGGUUAGCAAUCUUAACAUUGCAGUUUGAAUUAUGCAUAAGAACCAUUGCAAUUGCCACAUGUUUUUCAUUCAGGUAUCUGACCGUUGUCCCAUCAUUUGAGUACCAAAAUGAUACUUCAUUUCUCUUCUUUAUACUUCAUAUUUCUUUUGAAAUCCCUUUCCAAAAUCAGAAAUUUUCAAAACCUUCUUUUCUACUUUCUCAAAAAACACUUCAAAUGUGUAAACUCUUUGCUCCUAUUGGAGAAUUUUCUGAUGAAGAUGUUUUUAAGUGUGAAGAGGUACCAGGUCCUACAAGAAAAAAAGGAGAUGGUGAGAAAGAUGAUGUUCAAAAAGGAAAAGGUUGAUAUUCUGAAAACUCAAAGUAUUCUGAAUAGGAAGGUGUCUGAAAAAAAAUGGAAAAAAAAUGAUGAAAUGAAAUUUUCUUUUUGGUUCCUCAAUUAUUGAUCUAUUCAUUGUAGAGGCCUUGAGUAAGUUUGAUUUUACCAAUCUUUAUGUUAUGAGAAACUCAGGCUAGUGUUGGAAGCUAUGAUAGUUGCUCUUGCUAACUGGGAUACUAAAAUGGGUUGUCUAAAGGCUCAGCUUCUGAAACAACACUAUCGAAGGGACCAGGUUGAAAAAAAAAAACCUGGCAGCCCUGAAGGUUCAACAUGAAGGCUGGGCAGCAAAGAAUGUGAGCUUCAAAUGAGGCUUCUGAAAAUUCCAUGCUAAGGGAUAUGCUUUACUAAUUCUAUUCUUUCAAUCCCUUGCUUCUAUGUUAUCCCCUCUCUUCCUAAACUCCGGUGUCAGUCCUCCUCGUUUUCUAUCGAAAUUCAGUGGGCAUUGUCUUAGUUCUCAUUUGUAAUGAUAUGUGCAAUGCUUUGAUUACUGAUCUUUUAUUUAUGAAUGACAAAUGCCUUGUUUCUACUGACUUGUCUCAUUACUUUAUGCAUUUUUAUUCAUGCUUAGUGUUGCCCAAGUGGCCAUGAAUUUGCUUGAACUGCAAUUCUGUCAACUUGGUUUAUUGCUUUAACCCUUUUUUAUGAUGUCAAAAGGGGGAAAAUUGCUAAGGUAUGAGAUCAAUGAUUUAGCUAGCUACUUGAAGAGGACAUGACCAUGCCUAUAGGGGGAAUCAAUGCUAGCCACUUGAAAAAGACAUGGUCAUGCCGAUAUGGGGAAUAAAUGCUAGCUACUUGAAGAGAGGACAUGAUCAUGCCGAUAGGGGGAAUCAAUAUUAGCGACUUGAAGAGGACAUGGUCAUGCCGAUAGGGGGAAGAAGUUGAACAAGUUUGUCAUCAUCAAAAAGGGGGAAAAUGUUAUUUUGAUGUUUUGAUGAUUUGACAAACUUCGGGGAUGAUGAAACUCCAGUUACCCGAAGAGUUCUUGUUGAUAGGGGGAACUGGUGAAUAAGUAUGUUAUCAUCAAAAAGGGGGAAAAUGUUAGUUCGAAGCUGAUAUGAGAUGUUAGUUGAAGUUGAUAUGAAGUUUUGAUGAUUUAACAAACUUAUCGAUCUAACAAGGAACCAGAUCUUUGUUAAUGGGACUGCUGACAGGGAAAUGAAUGAAUAAGCUUAGUGUGAGGAAUAUUUGUGCGUAAUCAUAAAAAAGGGGAAAAUGUUAUAUUCUAGGUGUUUUGAUGAUCCUCACAAAUGCAGGGACCUGGUCCCUGGCAGAGUGUUCUCGUCCAGAACUAUAAUGGGGUACAACUGUAAAGUUGUCGUGUCAGAGGUUGGUGAGGCGUCAACGUACUACACCAAUCAGAAUGGACGAAGGUGUUUGUCCAACGGGUAAUAACUCUUUAUGGUUGAUAUUUUCUACAUGACAAACACCAUAUUAAAUUCAUUCAUCCUAAGAAGGAAGUCAACCAACAAGCCUUUUCAAGAACCCACAAAGAAAAGUUUGUAAGGGACCUGGUCCCUGCAAGAUUGCGAUAUGAAAAGGUGACAAGACAGCUGUCAGAAAAGCUGCCACCUAUGAUGUGGUAGGUGCACAACUUUUUUAAACAGCAGGCCUUCAGCCAAUAAGAUUAUUUCAACGAGUUUGAGUUGAUUUAUAUUAUCUAUUUCCAAAAUACACAAACUUAAGACUUGGUAAAACAAAAACUUGGAUUUUCUCUGAAAAUUCAUAAGCUUUAAAAGAAGGCCAUCUUCAAGGAAGAACAAUACUCAUGCUCAACAAAGGGACCUGAUAGAGUGCUGAAGCGUCUUUGUUGAGUUUGAGUUUUGUUAGUUUUUGCAACUUGAAAAUUCUCAAGAACACUUGCAAAGACUCACUUUCAAGAAGUAUUCUCCGGCAAGCACAACAAGGAACUGAUCAAGCUACAAGCAUCAGAGUGUGUCUUAGGAGUUAUACUUUCGUGCAUAUAUUGUAAAUAUGUUCCUAGUUUAUAAAGGAUUCAGAUAUUUGUUUCGGUUUCUAAAAGCCUAAAUCAGUUGAGUUUAACUGGUUUAGUGGGCAACAUUGUUUUGCUGCUUAGUCAAAUUCUAAGUCAUCUAGGAGCUAGUUGAUUUAAUGGGCGGUGUGGUAUCCGCUAAGCAAAGUCUAGGUUAUCUAGGGGUGAUAGCUUAGUGGACAAUGUGGCAUCUGCUUAGGCCGAGAAAGUUUUUUUGGAGAACAAAUCGAAGGUCAGAACUGAAGUGAAGUUUUGCUUCUUCAGAGUGAGAGAAACACAGUGAAGUGAAAAUUGUUUCUUCACAAACACUUAUAACACUAAUUUUUAACAUCAACACAGCUAUUGCCCAUUUUGUUUUUUCAGCAACCGUUAACGCCAUUGAAUUGAAUUUGUGUUUUCUUAGGAAGGUAGAAAAUGAGCGAUGAACCCAGAAAGCUUUGUCUUUAGAAAAUCCCGCUUAAACAAAAAAUUUUAAUUGAAAACCUAUCUAUAUAUAAAAUUAUAGCUUUUAAAUUAUUUCUAUGUAGAAUUAACUGUUAUGAGUUAAGAAUAAGUAUAUCUUAGGUAUAACUGAAAUUUAUCUUUAUCCCUAAAUACUACUAAAAAUAAGAAUUAGUGAUGAUCAAAUUUUAUAAUUAACUAAUAAAAGUCAUGGUUGAUUCUAUUAAAAUAUAAAUUGUAACCUUUAAAUUCUGAUUAUAUUUUUCUUUUAAAUAAUCUAUCAUUUUUUUAUUCAAUAAUUUAUUUUCUAGGAGUAGAUUUAUAAUAGUGUAAAGACAAUGAUAUUUUAUUUAACUUUUGAUGAGCAGAAUCAAUAGUAUUAAAAAAGAGAGUUAAUAUAUAUAUAUAUAUAUAUAUAUAUAUAUUAAGAGAAGAGGAGAUAUUUUGAAGGUAUUUAUACUUUGAAUUGAUUUUUUUUUAAAAAUAAAACAAAUUAAAUAAAUUAUACAAAUAAUAUUGGUGGUAUAUUUAAAUAAUAAAAUAAUAAGAGCAUAGGAUAAAAUUGUUAGUGGGUGGUGGAUGGGUGGCACACAAUUUUACUAGCUUAAUCACCACUUUAAAUAUUUUUAAAUAGCUAAGCAAUUGUGAGUAAUGAAUUUUUUUUAAGGUUAUAAAAUCACUAGGCUACAACAUGUUGCUAGAGUGAUGUAAUAGAAGUAUUACAAUAAUUAGAUUUUAAUGGGUAGAAAUAUUUGUUUUUAUAACCUUCAAAAGAGGAGUGCACAUACUCUAUGGAUAAGCUCGCCUAAUAGAAAUGUUAAUAGAUAUUAAAAAUAUAGAAUUCAAAUUCAUUUGCAGCUGAUAUAAAAAAUUAAACUAAAAUUCAAUAUAUCAUAUUGAAAAUAAAAUAAAUGUAGUUCAAAAUUAUUAUUUUUUAUUAUAGGCAAAAUACUAAAUUAAAAGCUUAAUAUAAAUUAUUAUAGCAAAUAAAUUUACUCAAGAUGAUGAUAGGGAAAGUAAGAGUGUAUUUAUGAUUAUGAUUUAUUUAUAAAAUAAAUAAAGUAAAUAAUUAAAACUAAUUGCUAACAAAUUUAGAUAAUGAACCGAGUUUAUAUAUUGAUUAAUUUUUUUAUAAUUAUUAACUAUUAUAAAUGAUCGAGGUGCUAAAUAUACUAAAAUCCUAUCAUGUAUGUUGAUAUUUAAUUUUGGAUUGUAAUCAUGUAAAUCUUAUAAUUCAUUUAAUAAAAUGCAUUUUGAAAUUGUUUAACAAAUCUAUAUAUGUAUGAAUAGAGUUGAUACCGCGCAUUGCGCGAGUAUGUAUACUAAGGCUGGCAAUUGGACAAUAUUGGAUCAACAGGAUCGGUUUUACCGGAACCGGUCCUCGUUACAGGAUUUAUUUAUCGGAAUCGGGUCUUACCGAAACCGGUUUUACCGGAUAUUCCCAAAGGUUCCGCCCGGUCCCUUAGUUACCGAUAGGAGCCGGUUUGGACCGGACCGGAACCGGUUCUUACUGGAUCAUUGUGUACCGGUUAAUUUUUUUAUUUUUUAUUAACUUUAAUUAUUAUAUAAUAUUAUAUUACUAAAAAACUUCAAUUUAAAACUUUAAACUUAAACUUUAAAGUUUCAAUUGAAUUUACGUUUAAACUUUAAACUUUAAAGUUUAAAAUUGACUUUAAAUUUUAAAGUUUAUAUUGAAUUUAAAGUUGAAAAUUGACUUUAAAGUUUAAAGUUUAUAAUGAAUUUAAAGUUUAAACCUUAAAAUUUAAUUUUAUAUUAAAGUUUAAACUAAUAUCAAAAUAGUUGAAAAUUAAAUUUCUGAAAUGACUUGGAUUAAAUAUAAGAGACUAUUUUAAAAGAAAAUCAAAGUCUUAUAUUUAUUCAAAUAAAUAAAUUGUACAAUACAAAUAUUAGAAAGAGACAUAGUACAUAAUCUAGGUAUUAAAUAUUAAUUAUUGUACUAACAAUUGAAACUUUUUUUAAAAUCUUUUCGUAACUUUUGUAUCAUUUCAAAAGAAACAUUUUUUGAAACUUGUAUUUGUCGUUCUUCUUCCAUACUAAAGAUCUUUUAGCAUGUACAUCGGUCUUUGAAAAAGUAGGUAAAGAGGGGACUUCAUCUUGUUCCGGUAAUUCAGUAGCCGCACUACUAGGGGUAGAGGUCUCAUCAUCUUCCUCAUUUAUUUCUACUUCCUCAUCUAAUUCUUCCUCAAAAUUAGUAAAACAUCUAUUUAAAGUCUCAUGAUCUACUUCAUUUUCGGAAUUAAAUUCAAUAGGUCGUGAGUCUUGUGUAAAAGAAGUUUCAUCAACAUGAGUAUAAUCAUUAGUAUUAAUUCUAAAUCUAGGAGGUGGCAAAUUUUUAGAAUUAGAACUACUUCCUCCUCCCCUAUUUAUUUUUCUUUCCGACAUUGGUCUUUUACCACUAUUUCUUUCCAAAUUCAUGUUCAAGUUUUAAAUAAUUAAUAUUAUGAAAAACAAGCAAGAUAAUAUAACAAAAAAAAACUUAAUUAAUAAACAAAUAAAAAUUAAAAUUGAAACGAAUGUACCGAACGUCUACGUAAAAGUAGACGUAAAACCAAAGCCGGAAUUGAGAGAUGCCAAUUGAAGCUUCCGAUUUACUUCAAAUAUAUCUCCAAAAUCCGAACUCCAAGUCAAUAUCACAAAAUAAUAAUUAUGAAUUUAUGAGAGAUUGAAAAUUGAGAGAUUUUGUAAGAUGUUAAAGAAAUAAUUUGUGAAUUUGUGAUUUAAAUAAAAGAAUAUGGGUAAAGGGGUUAGAGAGGGGUGGAGGGCUGUUUUGAGCCGUUUUGGUCCCCAACCCAACGACUAUAAAUUAACGUUCAACUUAAAAAAAAAGAAGUUUAAAAUGGAAGUGACCGUUGAACCGGAUCAACCGGAUAAAAAAUAGGAUUCCGUUUUGGUACCGGUUCCGAUACCCUAUAAGAUUGGUUCCUUACCGGUUCAACUGGUACCGGACUCACCGGUAUGGGAACCGGAUCGGACCGGCCAAAACCCUGUCCAUUUGCCAGCCUUAAUGUAUACUAGUAAAAUAUAUAAGGAGAAGUAAAAAGUGACAAAUGUCGUCACCAUAAAAAUCUAAUAAUUACUAUUUAAAAAUAAAUAUAUAAAUAAAUUAAUAAUAAAAAAUAAAUAAGUAAAAUUUGAUUGUAAAACAAUACGUAACUAAAAAGCAAAAAUGUGGAUUUUCAUAACAAAAUUGGGGUAGUUUUUUUUCCAGUUUCUUUAAUUUAUUAAAUUCUAUCCGGAUUGUCAGUAAAAUAAUUUCUCACAGUUAAUUUAAAUUUAAAUUUGAAAAUCUGAAACUGCAAAUAACUGUUGUACCAUAUUUAAACGUAUUCAAUUAUCUUCAAAUCAAUCUUUCGUUGAAUUCACAAUUUAAUAGUUGCUUUCAAUAUUCUUCCAUAUUUUUGUAUUCAAUUCCAAUGACACCAAAGGCGUAGAAGAGUCAGCAAAAAAGAAACUAUCAGAGAAAAGAAGACCAUCAUAGCCGAGAAAGUUUCUUUGGAGAACAAAUCGAAGGUCAGAACUAAAGUGAAGUUUUGCUUCUUCAAAGUGAAGUAAAAAUUGUUUCUUCACAAAUACUUAUAACACUAAUUUUUAACAUCGACACAACUAUUGACAAUUUCAUUUUUUCAGCAACCGUUAACGCCAUUGAAUUGAAUUUGUAUUUUCUUAGGAAGGUAGAAAAUGAGCGAUGAACUCAGAAAGCUUUGUUUUUAGAAAAUCCCGCUUAAACGAAUUUUUUUAAUUGAAAACCUAUCUAGAUAUAAAAUUAUAGGUUUUAAAUUAUUUCUAUUUAGAAUUAACUGUUUUGAAUUAAGAAUAAGUAUAUCUUAGGUACAACUGAAAUUUAUCUUUAUCCCUAAAUACUACUAAAAAUAAGAAUUAGUGAUGAUCAAAUUUUAUAAUUAACUAAUAAAAGUCAUGGUUGAUUCUAUUAAAAUAUAAAUUGUAACCUUUAAAUUCUGAUUAUAUUUUUCUUUUAAUUAAUCUAUGAUUUUUUUAUUCAAUAAUUUAUUAUCUAGGAGUAGAUUUAUAAUAGUGUUAAGACAAUGAUGUUUUAUUUAACUUUUGAUGAGCAGAAUCAAUAAUAUUAAAAAAGAGAGUUAAUUAAAAUAUAAUAAUUGAGGGAAAUAUAUAUACCGGAACCGGGUCUUACCGAAAUCGAUUUUACCGAAAAUUCCCAAAGAUUCCGCCCGGUCCCUUAGUUACCGAUAGGAGCCGGUUUGGACCAGACCGGAACCGGUUCUUGCCGGAUAAUUGUGUACCAGUAUUUUUUAUUUUAUUUUUUUAUUAACUUUAAUUAUUAUAUAAUAUUAUAUUAUUAAAAAACUUUAAACUUAAGCUUUAAAGUUUCAAUUGAAUUUAAGUUUAAACUUUAANNNNNNNNNNNNNNNNNNNNNNNNNNNNNNNNNNNNNNNNNNNNNNNNNNNNNNNNNNNNNNNNNNNNNNNNNNNNNNNNNNNNNNNNNNNNNNNNNNNNUCUCGCCGCACUAAAGGCUUGCUCCGAAGCAACCGAUAAUGUUUGAAUCGCUAGCACAUCUCGAACAACCCUAGCAAGAGUCGGAAAUUGAUUUUCACGAUUCUUCCACCAUACUAAUAUUUGAGCUUGAAGGUGUCCUUUUUCUAUGCCUAAUCUUUCCCCGUGUCUGAUUGAAAUAUAAAUCAAAAUCAUUAUUAGUAGAGGAUUUAAGUUCAAGAUAAUCAUCCAUCCUAUCAUCCGUAUCAUCACUUCUAGGCCUACAAGAUGGAGGUUCAACUAUUGGAAUAUUUUUUUCCAUAGUUUAUAUGUAUUAUAUAACUCUCUAGCUUUUGUAUAUAUGCUACUUUUACAAUCUUCAACACUAGGAGUUUCAUCAUCUUUAAUUUCUAAAUUUGCAUAAAUCUUUUCAACCAUUCUUUCAACACCUUUUAAUUUGUAAUUUGGGUUGAAAGUAGUAGCAGUUAAAUAGAUUUGAGAAAUAGGAAAAAAAUAUUUUUUGAAUUUUUCAAUCAUAAAAGCAAGUGAAUCUUUAAAUCGAUCUUUUCCUCUAUAUUUUGCAAAUUCAGAUGAAAUAGCACAAAUAUUUACUAAAACAGUAGAAAUAGUUGGAUAAUAUUUACCAGAAGCAGCAUUUGUUGCUUUAUAAAAAACACUUAAAAAUUCAAUAAGUUCUUUUGUAUUCAAUAAGUUCUUAAAUUCUGGUCCGCAUUAUGAGCAUUAAAAACUAAUUGUACCGGCUCUUGAUAAAUAUAAGCAACUUCAAGCAAUUCAAAUAAAGAAUUCCAUCUAGUGCAUACUUCUUUUGGAACUUUUCUAUAUGCAAGUCCACAUUCUUUACAACGAUUUUUAAAUUUUGUAAUUCUUGCUUUUAUUUUAGCUUUAAAAAUCCAAUUACAAGCAAAUCUAAUUUUUUCACAGGAAAUUUCAAAUUAAGAAAUACCAUCUGUUACUAUCAAAUUAUACACAUGUGCGGCACACUUAACAUGAAAAGAAUCAUUAUCAAUUGGACAAAGUCUACAUUUUAAAUAAUCAAUUACUUUUAAAUUAUUAGAAGCAUAAUCUAAAGUGACACUCAUUAUUUUAUCACAUAUUCCAUAAAAUUGUAAAAUAGAGCUUAUUUUUGUUGCUAUAUAAGAACUAGUUUUAGUUUCUUCAACAUAUUUAUACCCUAAUAUUCGUUUUUGUAUGUUCCAUUCAUGGUCAAUCCAAUGGACAAUAAUUGUAAAAUAAUCAUUACCAGUAGGACUACGUCUCAUAUCAGAAGUAAUAGAUAAUCUACCAUUAUAAUGAACAAAUAAACAACGAAGAAAAUGACAAUAUUCUUUUUGAUAUUUAAAAAGAUCACUUUUAAUUGUACUUCUUGGAAUACCUGCAUAAUUUGGGUUAUACAAUUCCCGAAUAUAAUGAACAAAACCAGGAUGGGAAGGAAAUGAAAAAGGUAAACCACAAACAACAACCAUUUUUAGCUAAUUCUCUACGAUCUUUUUCUUUACUAUAUGUGUGGUGUGUGCUUCGGCUAGCCGGGUUAGUCAUCUUUAAUACACUUUGAAUCAUAUUAGAACCUCCAACUCCCAUAGAAUUUUCAGGUAUGGGUAUUCCAUUUCUAUUACCCCUUUCUAUAUAAUCUAGGCGAGCAAAUUCUUUAUUACACUUUCUCAAAUGUGUUCUUAGUCGUCCCGUUCCCCCUUGUGUACCCGUAGUUACAUGUUUCAUGAUCAAUUUACAUUUCAUGCAAGUAAUAGUAGUUUUUUCCUCAUUUUGUACCAAAAAUUUCCAUACUAAAGAUCUUUUAGCACGUACAUCGGUCUUUAAAAAAGUAGGUAAAGAGGGGACUUCAUCUUGUUCCGGUAAUUCGGUAGCCGGACUAGUAGGGUAGGGGUCUCAUCAUCUUCCUCAUUUAUUUCUACUUCCUCAUCUAAUUCUUCCUCAAAAUUAGUAAAACAUCUAUUUAAAGUCACAUAAUCUACUUCAUUUUCGGAAUUAAAUUCAAUAGGUCGUGAGUCUCGUGUAAAAGAAGUUUCAUCAACAUGAGUAUAAUCAUUAGUAUUAAUUCUAAAUCUAGGAUGUGGCAAAUUUUUAGAAUUAGAACUACUUCCUCCUCCCCUAUUAUUUUUUCUUUCCGACAUUGGUCUUUUACCACUAUUUCUUUCCAAAUUCAUGUUCAAGUUUAAAAUAAUUAAUAUUAUGAAAAACAAGCAAAGAUAAUAUAACAAAAAAAUAAAAUAACUUAAUUAAUAAAUAAUUAAAGUUGGAACGAAUGUACGAAACGUGUACGUAAAAGUAGACGUAUAACCAAAGUCGGAAUUGAGAGAUGCCAAUUGAAGCUUCCGAAUUACUUCAAAUAAAUCUCCGAAAUUCGAACUCCAAGUCAAUAUCACAAAAUAAUAAUUAUGAAUUUAUGAGAGAUUGAAAAUUAAGAGAUUUUAUAAGAUAGUUUGUGAAUUUGUGAUUUAAAUGAAAAAAUAUGAGUAUAUUUAUAGUGUUAAGGGGUAGAGAAGGGUAGGGGCUGUGUAAGAUGUUAAUGAAAUAAUUUGUGAAUUUGUGAUUUAAAUAAAAGAAUAUGGGUAUAGGGGUUAGAGAGGGGUGGGGGGCUGUUUUGAGCCGUUUGUGGCCCCAGCCCAACGGCUAGAAGGGCCCAAUGGCUAUAAAUUAACGUUCAACUUUUAAAAAAAGUUUAAAAUGGAAGUGACCGUUGAACCGGAUCAACCGGACAGGAAUCAGAUCGGAACCGGUUCUUACCGAACCAGAUCAACCGGAUAAAAAACCGGGUUCCAUUUCUGUACCGGUUCCGAUACCCUAUUAGACAGGUUCCUUACCGGUUCAACCGGUACCGGACUUACCGGUACGGGAACCGGAUCAGACCGGCCAAAACCCUAUCCAUUUGCCAACCUUAAUGUAUUCUAGUAAAAUAUAUAAGGAGAAGUAAAAAGUGACAAAUGUCGUCACCAUAAAAAUCUAAUAAUUACUAUUUAAAAAAUAAAUAAUAUAAAUAAAUUAAUAAUAAAAAAUAAAUAAGUAAAAUUGAUUGUAAAACAAUACGUAACUAAAAAGCAAAAAUGUGGAUUUUCAUAAGAAAAUUGGGGUAGUUUUUUUUCCAGUUUCUUUAAUUUAUUAAAUUCUAUCCGAAUUGUCAGUAAAAUAAUUUAUCACAUUUAAUUUAAAUUUAAAUUUGAAAAUCUGAAACUGCAAAUAACUGUUGUACCAUAUUUAAACGUAUUCAAUUAUCUUAACCAUCUUCAAAUCAAUCAUUCAUUGAAUUCACCAUUUAAUAGUUGCUUUCAAUUUUCGUCCAUAUUUUCGGAUUCAAUUCCAAUGACACCAAAGGCGUAGAAGAAUCAGCAAAAAAGAAACUAUCAGAGAAAAGAAGACCAUCAUAGCCGAGAAAAUUUUUUUGGAGAACAAAUCGAACGUCAGAACAGAAGUGAAGUUUUUCUUCUUCAAAUUGAGAGAAACACAGUGAAGUGAAAAUUGUUUCUUCACAAAUACUUAUAACACUAAUUUUUUUGCAUCUUUUCUUUCAAUUCCUUCCAUAGAUUAUUGUCUCAUGGAUAAACGAAAUUUAGUUUAUUGGAAAUACUAGGAAUUAUGCAUACGCUUCUUAUCUCCUAAUGCAUCAGUUUUUAUAUAAGCAAAAAACAUAAGUCAAUGUCUAACAUCCUAUUCUGAUUUUUGAAUUUCAUGAAGAUUGAUAGGUAACAACAAGAAUUUUAUGUUUCUUUUUCAAAAUUUAUCAUUAAGAAAUAAACUAAAUAAAAUACUACAAUAUGCAUCAACACUAGAUCAAUUAAUUAGGAAUAUAAUUUAUUUAUGAUAAAUCAUAUAAUAUUGUUGUUAGUCAAAAUAGACCAUCUUUUGAAGAAGUCGGUUAUCGCAGAUGAAAAACACAAAAGAUACGAUGAUAAUUUUAGACUUCCAAAUUGUUAUCGCUCUACUGAUGCCUUUUUCCUAAAGGUACGUUAGAAAAAAUAUUUGCCGGAGAAUGUAUUAAUUUGUGGGAAUCAAACAAUUUCUCAAUUACGAAUGUUACAACAUUCACUUUUACUGUCUAUGGAGUUGUCCAACUCAUUCUUGCUUGAAUUGAUUCUACGAGAUGAGAAGGUAUUGUGCAAUUAUAUUCUUUCAUAAUUAUGUUAACAUAUAUAAACGUAUUUUAUCUUAUAAUCAUUCUAUAACUCUUUUUCUCUGUUUUGUGAUUGCAAAUGGGUGAUAUGCUUUACUUAAUUACUUUGUUUAUAAUUAAUAAAUAGUGAUGUUAGCAUGUUUUUGAAAGAGAUAUAUAUAUAUAUAUAUAUAUAUAUAUAUAUAUAUACACUCUACAAAUUUACAUUAAAUGAAUUGUGUUUUGACAUAAUCUACUAUUGGGGUGAGAUUUGAAACUAUGAUCCGUGAACUUACUUUUCAAUUCUCCAAAUUCCAUGCAUUUAUGAGUUUUAUAGUCAAUCAUAUAUUCGUAGGACAAAAAAACAAUGAUUUUACAUUAUAUAUGCAAAUUACAUUAACACCAAGCAUGACCAGAUUUACAUUAACACAAACAUGGCCAGAAUUUUAGAAAUUACGAUCAUAAGCAACUCAAUACCAUAAAUGUAUGUUAUUUUGUGAAAAAUGAGAAGUUUAAAGUUGUAAAAGUUCCUAAGAAUAGAAAUGCAUAGUAAAACCUCUAUAAAUUAAUACUCGAUAAAUUAAUAAUCUCUCUAAAAUAAUAUUUUUCUCCGGUCCCGACUUGGGCCAAUAGAAAAAAUCACCAAUUUUGAUAAGAUAAUAUAUUUCCAGAAGUCUCCUAUAUAAAUAUAUGGUCCCAUUAAUAUCAUAAAUUAAUAAUUCUUUAAAAAUAUAAAUAUAUCUAAGACAAUUUAGUGAAAUAUGAUUCUAUUGUGUUCUGUUUUUUCUUAAAAUUUAAAUAUAGUUGAAGCCCAUCUCUAACUUUUUUUAUUGCAUUCAAGAGCUCUGGUGUUGUCUUUUCGAACUAUACCAUAAAAUUGUGAAGAGUUCUAGAUGUUAUAAGUGCUUCCCUACGCUUAACUAGUUCCAAAUGUAUAGUAUCAUCUUCAACUUUAUCAUCAACAUUGUUUCUUCCGAUGGUAUCCACAAUUUCUUCUAAGCUCUGGACCUCUGAACAUGUAUCACUUUCACCCGGAUAAUCCAACAGGUUAUUGACAUCCAUUUUAUUGUGGUAACCAAGAUCAUUAAUCAUGACCUCAAGUUUAUGAGUGACGUUUUCACAAGUGGAUUCAUUCAAAUUCUCUAAGAUUGCAUCCCUUAAACAAAUUUUAUAGUGUCGAAAACAAUUUGCUAUGUCUCUUGCUAAACAUUUGUUAUACAAGCAGGGAUUGCAAAAUUGAUAGCAUCCAAAACAUUAAUCUUUGCUGGAUCGGUUUUUCCUACUUCAUAGUCUUCUAAUAUCCUACGAUAAAAUUUGUUAUGAUAGUCCACCUUGAAAGCUCUUACUAUCCCAACAUCACAAGGUUGAAUUUUGGAUGUCAUGUUGGAUGGCAAGAAAAACAAUUCAACAUUUUGUAGUCCUUCAAUAUUUCUAUUAUGGGCUGGACAAUUAUCUACCAUAAGCAAAACUCGUCUACCAUGUAUUUUGUGGUCAAACCAACGAAUAUAUUCAUCUAAAAGCACACUUGUCAUCCAUACUCUUUUGUUUGCACGAUAAUGACAAUUCAACAAAUAUGAUACAUAAAUUAGUAAGAUAUAAUGAUUUUUAUGUAUUCGUUAUACUUUAUGUAUAAUAUUAUUUUAUGUGAAAUCAAUAAAUAUGAUACAUAAAUUAGUAAGAUAUAAUGAUUUUUAUGUAUUCGUUAUACUUUAUGUAUAAUAUUAUUUUAUGUGAAAUCAAUAAAUAUGAUACAUAAAUUAGUAAGAUACAAUGAUUUUGAUAUAAUCAAAAUUAACCUUUAUUAAAUCUCAAACCAUUCUUUAAAUUAUCAAAUAUUAAUUUAUCGAUUAAAUUAUAUCUCUAUAAAAUAAUAAAAUUUCAUGAUCCCGCCUAUAUUAAUUUAUAGAGGUUUUACUGUACUUAGUAAAUAAUAUUUUUGUCUAAAGGUAUCUUAGACAAAAUAAAUUAAAAUAUGAAGUAAUUAAGUAAUUUUUUUUAAAAAAAAUUGAAUUUGAAUUUAAAUCUAAAUCCAAAAAAUCAAGAACUUUUAAGUAGAGAAAAAAUAACAUUGAAUGUGGUUAUUUAAUUUUUUAAUUUCAAUUAAAAGAUCUUUCAAUGCAUGGAUGAUUUGUCAAUGGUGCAGCAAAAGGUUAGUCCUACUUUUCUUUUUGUGGAAUGUUUAAUGUUCGUUGUAAAAAUUUAUUAUGUAAACUAAAAUAUUUUUUAAAAAAUGAAAAUUGUUACAAAUGAUAAGUUCUUCAUAAUAUGAUAAGCAAUGAUACAUUUUUUUAUUUGAAUAUAUAUGUUAAAAUUAAGAAUCACAAAAACUAUUGGAUAAUCCGUUAUAAAUUCAAUAUUUUAUACAAUUGACGAUAAAUUCAAUAUUUUAAACAUAUGACGAUAAAUCAAUAUUUUAAAGCAUAAAUUAUAAGAUUGACACGAUGAAAUACGUUGUCCACUUUUAUAUGUAAGUUUUUUUAAUUGACAAAAUAAUCAAGAUGUUGAGUUGCCUGGAAGGUCACUAACUGAAACCUAAUUAAUAGAUAUUGAAUAAUAAAAUAUAUUAAUUUAAAUUCAUUUGUAGCUAAUAUCAUUAAUUAAAACUAAAAAUUAAAGAUAUCAUAUUGAAAAAUAAAAAUAAAAAUAGUUCAAAAUCAUGCUUUAAAUUAAGGUAAAACACAAUGAAUAAAUUAAUUAAAGGUAGUAUGGUAACCAAAGGUUGACUAGAGGAUGAUAGGGGUUGUGUGAGCGCAUUUAUGAUUUUCACUAAUUUAAAAAAUAAAUAAAUAAAAUAGCUCUAAAACUUAUGAACUAACCUUAUAUUGAUUUAUUGUCAUAAAGUAUUUUAUUAAAUAAAUGGUGAGGUGCUAAAUAUGUUAACAUUCUCUCAUAUAUAUAUAUAUAUAUUUUAUAAUAUCAUUUUACAAUAUGUCAAAUCUUUAAAUUACUUAUUAUGAACUUUAUCAAUGGACAGCGCAUCGCACGGGUACGUAUACUAAUUUUUAAAAUAUAUGAGAUAUAACUAGUACAACUUGUAUCAGGGUAUUGUUUUUUUAAUUUAUAUUCUAACCUAGAAAUCCGUGUUCUAUUUUUCUUUUUUGUCUUUGAUUUCUCUUUCAUGCUCUACUGUUUCCUUUUUUUUUUCUCCUUAUUUUUUUUUAUUUUUUUUAUAAAUCUAUUUUGAAAUUAAUUUAAUUAUUGGUGUAUAUGAAAAAAUAAUUUAUUUUUUUACUUAUUUAGUUUAACAAAAACAUUUUUUAAAAUUAUCAUAGUUAUCAUCAAAUAACUACAUAGGUAUCAAUAGUCAAAUUUAAAAAUUUAAAAAUUUAAAAAAUAAUUAAUAAGACUAGUUUAGUAAAAUGAAUCUUUAACAUAAAUACAAUAAAAGAUGUAUGAAACUUAUAAAAAAAAAUAGUGUAACAGUUAUUAUUAAAGUUGCACAUUAAAAAUUAAGGGGUUAUGAGCAUAGAAAACAUGAUUAUGGUUAUUAUUAUUUGGCAUUUGGCUCUAGAAUUCAAACAUAUAUUUUUUUACUGUAUUUGAAAUAAAUGAAAUUAUAGUUGAACAUGGAGUCAUGUUUAUUUUUGCAAAACAAAAUAUUUGAAAUGAUAUUCAUGUUUGAAUGUACUUAAAUAUAAUUUUAAAAAUCAAAAGCGAGUUGAAAAAUCAGAUUAUCUAACAUGUUUUCCAAAUUUGAAAUAUAUAUUCGAGUUGAAAAAGUUGUAUUCAGAUGUUCAUUAUCAAACAUCAAUUUUUAAAUUAAGUGAAAAAAUAUCAUUUUUUAAGAAAUAAUUCUUAUGUUUGAAUGAGUCCUAAAAGUAGAAGUUAAAAAAUAUGAAAUAUGAAGAUAAUUUUUUUAAAGUAUGAUUAAUAGAAAAUUGUCUUGUUUCAAAUAUUUUUUUCUAGAUUUCCAAAUCAUUUUGUAUAGUUGUCUAUCAAUCUAUGUCAUCCUUAUUUCAUAGUUAAUUACUAUCAAUUAAAAUUACCUAGAUUUAUAGUUAUAGAGAGAAAAGCAAAAUAUAAGACAUUAAUUAUUAUCCAUAUUAAUUAGAAGAUGAUCUAACUAACAUGGAUAAUCACUACCUAAAAUGCUAAAAAUAAAUAAAAAAUUAUUAGUCAAAAAAUAUAAUUUAUGACUUUUGACUUAUAGUCAUAAAAAAAAGAGAGUCAAACAAGCUCUAUGAAACAACUAUAAAUAAGGGUGUAUACUAGAGAAGGUAAAAUAAAACAUUGAACUAAUUAAUUAUAAGAAAAUGAGUUUUCUUCCUUAUUGGUUUUAUCAUUUUUAUUAUUUCUUCAACAAACAAAUGCUAUUAUUGUUCAUGUAGUUGAUGGUAUAGCAAAAAAUGAUCCUCAAUUGAUAUAUCACAGUGCAUCUAGAGGUGAUGAUCUCGAGAAGCAUUAUCCCAAAUUUAAUGAUGAUUUUCAUUUCUCGUUCAAAAAAUAUAUAUUCUCUGAUGGUGUCUUUUUGUCAUUUUUGGUGGGGUCAAAAAAACAAUAUUAGAUUUAAAGUGUAUAGAGAAACUGGAGCUUGUGGGCAUGAAACAGGAGGAUCUAACAAAGGAAUAUGUUAUUGGUUAGUUAAAGAAGAUGGUUUCUAUUUUGCUAUUAAUGACAAUCCUCCUCCAUCUACUUUUGUUAGACAAUUUGGUUGGUAAAAAAUUAAUGUAAUUUAAUAUUUGUUCUCCAAUUAUAAUCUGAAAUGAAAAUGAAAUUUAUUAUGAAUAUGUCAAUUCCUAUAGUGGCUUUAUUUCAUUGUAGUUAGCUAAUAUAUUGAGAUUCAUGAGAAUGAUCGGGUGGUUGAAAUUUUGAUACUAUGAAUAUAGUUGAGUAAUUAAGAAUAUAUAUUUUGAGGACACCAUUAAUCUAGCUAUAACUGAGACACCAACAUUGAUGAAUCGAACGUAUAACAUUAAUGACAUUGUACUCGUCCGCCUCAUCCGCUAGCUCUUAGUCAACUAACCAAAAACUAUGUACGGGGAUUUUCCUUUCAUCAUAUGAAUUUCCUUUUUAUUGUUUUUUCUUCCGUUUUAAAUGUCUUUUUCUCGCCUAUUAAAGACACCUUUGUGUGAAAUUUUUGUGUUGCUAUUGGUCCGUUCUUUUUUAAUCCAUGAUAAUUAUUACAAAAUAUUGAAAUCUCAUUCUCAUGUAGGUGAUUAUCCACUUGAAAUCGAACAUCAGGUUACCUCUCUUGUUUUCAUUCCAUCGUGAAAAGGUAGAGGACAAAAUUAACCCUACCAACAAUUAUUACUAUCCCCCUAUUUAUAAAACAUGUACUUCUUGACCUAGUGUUUUGGUUACUUUUAAGAUUUCAAAAUUCUCAAUCAACUCUAUUAAUCAUUAAGUUACGCCGUUAGAUACAAAAAUAGAAUAGAUAAUUUGCUAUUACAUGUUACUAUGCUAUAAUGUAAUAGUAUUGUACAAUGUAUACAACUCGAACUAUUUCAUAGUAUAAUUUUAAAACAACUCUAUUAUGGUCAAUUGAAAAUCAUAUUGUUUCUAAUAAAAUUGUCUAGAUCUCAAAAUCAUUAUGUAUAGUUAUUUUAUUAUCAUAAUCUAUUAGAGGAUGUUUGGAUUGACUUAAAAGUUGGUCAAAUCUAUUUUUUACAUCAGUUUUUAAUUAUUGAAAGUGUUUGACAAAUAUAAAAAUAGCUUAAGAUAAAUAAAAAAAAUGACUUAAAAUAAGUUGGGAAGUGUUUGGCAAGGUAAAAAAUAACUUAAAAUAAGUUUAAAAUGACUUAAAAUAAGUCAAAAACCCAUAGUAGGUCUCCCCCAACUUUUUUAUUUUUUGAUUUAAAAGUUAUUUGAGUUUGACUUUUUAUUUUUGACUUAAAAUCUACUUUUUUUAAGCCAAUCCAAACGAACUCCUAAAAUUAAAGUUGGUCAAAUCUACUUUUAAGUAAGUUUCUUACUUCUAAAAGUGUUUGACAAAUAUAAAAAUAACUUAAAAUAAGUCAAAAGCGACUUAAAAUAAGUAAGGAAUUGUUUGACGAAGUUAAAAAUAACUUAAAAUAAGUUUAAAAUGACUUAAGAAAAGUUAAAAACCAAAAGUAGGUCUCUCCCUACUUUUUUAUUUUUUGACUUAAAAGUCAUUUAAAUUUGACUAUUUAUUUUUUGACUUAAAAAUAAUUUAAGCUUGACUUUUUAUUUUUUGAUUUAAAAGUUAUUGAAGUUUGACUUUUUAAAUUUUUGACUUAAAAAUCAUUUAAUUUUGACUUUGUAUUUGUUGACUUAAAAGUCAUUUAAGUUUAACUCUUUUUUUUUACUUAAAAGUCAUUUAAGUUUGACUUUUUAUAGUUUUAACUUAAAAAUUACUUUUUUAAGCCAAUCAAAAUGAGCUCUUAUAAUCUAUGUCAUCCUAAUCUCAUAGUUACUAUCAAUUAUCAAUUAAAGCUACCUAGACUAUUAGAGAGAGAAAAGUAGAAUAUAAACACAAAUUAUUAUCCAUAUUAUUAAUUAGAAGAUGAUCUAACUACCAUAGAUCAUUACUACCUAAAAUGCUAAAAAAUAAAUAAAAAAUCAUUAGUCAAAAAAUCUAAUUUAUGAUUUUUGACUAAUGAGUCAUAACUGAAAAACUAAUUCAAACAAGAUUUAAGAAACAACUAUAAAUAAAGGUGUUUACUAGAGAAGGUAAAAUGAACAUUGAACUAAUUAUAAAAGUAUGAGUUUUCUUUCAAUGAAAAAUUGUUUUUCUUCCUUAUUGGUUUUAUCAAUUUUAUUAUUUGUUCAACAAACAAAUGCUGCUGCUACUUGUCAUAUAGUUGAUGGUAUUGAAAAAAAUGAUCCACCAAUAAAAUUUCAUUGUGCAUCUGGAAAUGACGAUCUCGGGAUACAUUAUCCUAAAUUCAACGAUGAUUUUCAUUUUAAGUUCGGAUUUAAUUUGUUUCGUGAGACGGUGUUCUUUUGUCAUUUUUGAUGGGGUACAAAAGAUGUUAAGGUUGAAGUGUACAGAAAUAGCGAAAAUUGUGGUGCUGAAGGGGGACUUGACUCAGGAACAUGUUAUUGGUUAAUUAAAGAAGAUGAUUUCUAUUUUUCUCCUAAAUAUAAUCCUCCUGCAUCUGAGUUGAUUAGAAAAUAUGGUUGGUAAAAAUUAAUGUAAUUUAAUUGAGUAGUACUCAUGAAAUGAAAAAAAUACUUUAAUUUUUAGUUUCAAAAUUGUGUCACAAUCAAAAUUCAGUAAUUAAAAAUUAUACCAUUAUUUUUAAUAUGUUCAGGCCUAUAUAUUGAUAUUGAGUCAAGAACAAUUAAGAGUUUUAAUUAUAUAAAAUCACCAAGUGAAAAGGAAAAAAUUAGCAAUCAUUAAAAGAUUUAGCUACCAAUAGUACAUCAAGAUGAAGUAUUUAAUAAAGUAUUAGUAUAAUUGACCCUUCUAAUUUAUAGAUCGUGACGGAAUAUAAUACGUUAAUUGAAAUGAAGAUAAAUAGAGUUUCGUACGUUAAUUGAAAUGAAGAUAAAUAGAGUUUCGUGUAAAAGAUAGAACGAUAAAAAACUCUUCAUGUACUCUUUUUAAAUUUCAUCAAGCCUAUCUGCUCAAUUUGCUUCAUAUUAGAGUUUAUGGUUUUAAGAUCACACCUUUAAUAUGGUUGUGUUCGCCAACUACACGAUACUUAGCACAAACAUCAAGUAAAUGAUAUCACACACUAUAAAACCUCCUAAAACGUGAAGAAUAUUGUAUAAGCUGAUUGAAUAAAUUAAUUCAUUUUUGUAUAUGAAUAUUUAUUUUGGGUAAUAUUUAAAGUACAACUUUUCUAGGGGAAUUUUCGCAUAUAGCCAUUCAAAGAUAAUUUUAUUGUGUUUCAUAACUAUAGUUUGUUAAUUAUGAUUCUGUAAUAUUCCGUAACUUAAAAUACAUUUGCGACUCGUAAACACCAAUGUAUAGAUGUGAUAUUGGGAGAGGUAUAUCAUUGAAAAUGGUUAAGCACACCAUGUAACCCUUACAUUUAGUCAUUUUAAGGGUUAAACAAAAGUUUUAGGCCAAAGAGAUCAUUAAAGAAAAGAUUAAAGUUUAAAGGUUCGUUGUGGAGGAAUACUACAAAUGAUCUCAUUUCUCAUCUGACUUUGAAUGAGUAUAUCUCCUAAUAUAUAAAGAGUUAGAACGCCUACAACCUAUCCAAUUGAAGGUAUUUGAGUCUAGUUUCCAGCAAAAUAAACCGCUCGUUAAAACGAUAUCGGAGUAAAAAGUUAUGUUCAUUCUACAACAGUACGCGCGCACUGACCAAUCACUGCGGGACAUGUGGCACUUUAGAGAAAGUCGGCCAAACUUGUUAUUUUAUAUUAGAAGUUUGGGAUAUACUUUCUCAUAUACUCAAGAACUUGUAAGGACUGGUUUCAAGUAUUUCUUCAAGUUUUCCUCAUCUUCAAUCCACCAAAGCUUAAGGUAAGUUGGUUUCUUCAAAAAUCAAGUGUCUUCCUUUCCAUAUACCUAUAUAUAUACUUAGCUAAAUGUUUUCUUGAAGGAAAAAGUAUUGUUCUUGGAGAAUAAAGAAGGGUAGGGGCUGGUUUUCUUUGAUAUAUAGGUAUGAAUCCUCUUCUAUCUUCAUAAAUAGUAUUCCAAGGAUGUUUUAAGUAUAAUUUGCAGGUAGGACUCACGGGACGGUGAUAGGAAGCCGUGAGUCCAUGGUUUACCCAUUGUAUUUGAUGUUUUGGUGAGGAUGGAGUUUGUAGAAGGUUGUGUUGGCUGUGGUUUUGACCAAAUGAGGGGUCAAUAGUAUUGUAUUAGGGAGGUAAGCUGGUUACAUUAAAACGGAAGGCGAUGUAUAGAGAACGCGACUAUUAUAGUUCUUGAAAGUUUGUCGUUCACCAAGUGUUUGAUGAAAUUCCUAAGUCGUUAAGAAUAUGUUGUAGCUGGUUAUAUGAACUCCUAUUAUUUUAAUUUAUGGCAUUAGUUCUCUACCAACUUAAACUAUGAGCUUAUAAAGGAAUUUGACAUCAUUAACAAGGAACCGGUGGGAUGGUGAUCGGAGGCCAUGAGUUUUACUUUUAUGUUAAGUAUGGAUGAUUAACGGGGCUGGUUCUUUAUGGUUAAAGUAUGAUAAGUAAUACUGAACAUGUAAAUAAGUCAUAAGCCUACUUGGAAUGUAGAGAAAGAGAAGGGUGUGGUGAUACACCAUUCAUCUAUGGUAAUUAUUGAGUUUGUCGCUCGCGAACCAUUAUUGUGUUUUUGGCAUUAUUGUGACUCUUGAUUAGUUUCUUGUACUAUCCUUUUAUGAUUUUAUGUUAUAGAUAAAGUUGUUAGCAAAGGAGUUUGACGACGUAAGAUAGUAAGUCCCGAAUUAAGGUAUGUAAAGCUGAAACCUCUUUUACCCUUAAGGUAGGACCUAAACUCGCAUGUUCUUCUGAUAAAUGUCACUAUAGAUUUUAUAAACCCUCUCAUGUUGGGUCCUAAACCUAUAGAGUUAUAGUACUCUUAAAGGAAGCAAUAUGUUUCACACAACUACAUUUAUCCACAGUUGGAACUCUUAGAAGUUAGCGGUGUACAUGUUGCAUAAAUUUAAAGAAAGAAGCCAACCACAGACUGUUCGUAAGUGCAUAGGUUACCAUAUAUAUGAUUCUCAAGCUAAAAAAUAUAAUCACAAAUUGUAUCACGAGCUAUGUGGUUAAUGAAUUAAUUAUUAUAAAUAAUUGCAAGCAGUUGAGAUUAUAGACUACUCCGCAGCGUAGGGUGGGUAUAUUUAGGGCUACUACGUGCGACGCUACUCUGUGCACAGAAUUCAGAUAUGGUCAGCUGAAAUUCCUAUCGUGGAUUCACCUGACUGAUACAGGCUUGCGGGAAGACCAUACAAGAGCCCUGGGAGGCGUACCUUGAUAGACCUCGUUACCAGACUAUGAGAUUUCACGCCUGGUUGUGACAGUGGGCUACAGAUGCCAUACAGGGUUCACUAAUCGCCGUCAGUAGGCCAUCAUGUGAUUCCCUGACAGUUAGUUUUACAAAGAGCAAAUAAGCGAUAUAAUGAAGUAAAGAUAUCACCUAGGCAAAUUAUAGGGAUUAUAUAUAUAAAUGACUAAGCCAUAAAACGUUCGAUGAGGACCAUUGAGGUUGGUCACAAUUCAAGUUACAGAUUAUGUCUCCUGCAUACACAUGCUCAGAUUUGCCUAUCAUGAUAUUUGAUGUCUAUUGUUAUUCAUUUUGCUUUACAUACCAGUACAUGUUUUGUAUAUACUAACGUCCCUAUUAUUUUGGCAUUUCAUUUGUAUCACUACAGGCUUAGGUACUCAGGACAACAAGCAUUUUCAGUAGACUAGAGACUUCCAAUUUAGUAGUUGGUAAGCUCCACCUCUACCUAGAGCUAUCAAAUAUUUGGAGCCUAUAUUUUGCUACAUAUGUACAUAUAUCAGAAUGGGUAUGUCGGGGCCCUGUCCCAACUAGUUAUUAGAUUCUCAGAGGCAUACUCUUUAGAGGCUUCGUAGACUUAGUCCUGUUUCCGUUGUAAAGUAGCCCAACGGGCCCUUUUGUUAUUUAUGUUUUAGUAUGUGUCUUCAUAUAGGUUCCGAUGCUUAUGAAUCUUCAGCUUUGGCAUGAGAUUAGUAAGAUAUUUAGCAGGUGCUUGUGUAUAUCCUUGAUGUUUGCCCCUUUCUAGCUAGGGGUGUGACAGAUUCGUAGCUACAUGUUAGAAGGGAGGAGAGAGGCGAGCGAGAGAGAGAGUAAAUAGUGGAGAAAUAUGAAUUGUGUAUGUAUAUUUGUCGGAUUGUAUAUGUAUAUCUGUCAAAUAAUUAUAUAUAUGUAACUGGUAUGCAUAUAUAUUUGUAUAUCGGGCGAGCGAGAUUGAGAGAGGGAGGAGAGAGUGAGCGAGAAAGGGCAGAGAGUGGAGAAACACAAAUUGUAUAUGUAUAUUUGUCAGAUAGUUCUAUAUAUGUAACUGAUAUACAUAUGUAUUUGUAUAUCUGGCGAGCGAGAUUGGGAGAGGGAAGAGAGAGGCAAGCGAGAUUGGGAGAAGGAGGAGAGAGGCGAGCAAGAGAGGGCAGAGAGCCGAGAGAGACUAGUUGUAUUCAUAUUUAUGUUAGAUAAUUGUAUAUAUAAUGUGUAUAAUUUGUAUGUGCAUAUUUAUAAGUGUUGUAAUUACAACUAAAAUUUAGUUAUAAGCCGUAAUUAAUUCAAACUAUAACCAUAUUAGAUAAUUAACUAGUAUAUGUUUGUUUAUCGCGUAAUUUUUCUACUAUGUAGAUUAUGAUUUUGAUUUGAAAAAACUUUUUCUUUUGCUUAAAAAGUACACGUGUCAGCCCAUUAAACCUCACUCCACGUCAUAGUUGUAACUGCAGGUGGGUAUAACAAAUAUAAAUAAAUAACAUUAUUAAAAAAUAAAAAUAAAAAUCCAGAAAAAAAGCAAAAAUAGAUAACAGAAAUUUAAAUUUUUAAUGCUGUAAUUUUACAGAAAAGGAAAAAAAAGUUUUUUAUUUCUUCUUCUUCGAUCUCCUCAGAUCCCCUAUUUCUGAAUCGAAUUUAGGGCUUGUUUUUCGCCCCAUUUUUUCCGAAAAUUCAAUUUUGGCCCGUUAUGUACUCGGAUUUUUAACCGUUUUACUCCGAAAAUUGAGGAUUAGGAUUUGUUUUUUUUGUAUACAAAAACAAUUUUUGUAUAUGAAAUGAAAUGUAGAUUGAUUGAUCUUUUUUUUAUAGGAGAAUUUUGGGGCUUAUUUUUAGGGUUUUUAGAUGAGGAUUUAAGAGGAAAGAUUUUAUUUUUUGAGGAUUUUGGAUGGCAUCAGCUCAGGUACUAAAAAAGCAAGAGCAUUUGCAAGCUGGGAAAAAGAAGGUAAUUGGGUUUUGUUUGAAUUAUGGAGAAAGGGUUUGUUUUGGUUUGGUUGAAUAUAGUUUGUUUACUUGAAUGUUUGUUAAGUACUACUUCUAUUUAACUCCUUGAUAAUGUUAAAGAACUGAAUUCUGAAAAAAGGUUUUGUUUUGGUUUGGUGAAUUUACUGUAUUUACUUGAAUUUUUGCUCAUUAAUAGUUCUAUUUAACUGGUUUGGAAUGUUAAUGAGCUGAGUUCUACUGGGAAUGUUAGUAGUUGAGUUAGUUGGCUACCUGAACUUUAGGGAGUGUGAUUUCCACCUUGUAAAAGAGUUGAAUUCUAGGUGGAAUCGUAGUAGCUUAGUUGGUUGACUAGCUGAAAUUUUGUGUGUUUGAUUCCCCACCUUGUAAUCCACUCCCCAUUUUCCCUUAAUGAAAAAAAAGGAGCUGAAUUCUAUUUUUGGAGAAGGUUUUAAAUGAAUGGCAUUCUACUUGGAGUGAGAAAUAAUGAGUGAUUGUAAUUUGUAGAGUCUUUUGAAUUGUUAUAAGUACCUUUAGAUAGUUAUCAUCUACUCGAAGUGAUGGACGGACUCCCUUUAUGUAUUUUCAAGAAUGUGAAGAAAAAAAUUGAGGCGCACUGUCUAUUUUAUCCUUAAUCAUCCGUGAACAAGGAUUACUACUUGAAUUUUGAUUUGUGAAAUCGAACUUUAAUCAAGAUGUGAAUGGCGUGGCCCCAUCCUCACCCCAUCAGUAAAUUCUACUAUUCUAGUGUUUUACUUGGAGGCAAUUUCAUGUAUGAAGUUAAAACACACCAAGAUUUAGGUUUGAGGUUGAAGAUUGAGAAGGUUCUUUUUGUCAAUAUUUAUUUUUCAUGACCGGUGGUUGAGUAAUUUCUAGAGUUCAACUUUUAUAGACAGUUCUAUUCAAGUGGGGCUGACAGCGAAAGAUCACUGCCUAGAUCUUCUUCCAUAGGGGAAGUGCUUAUAUGUCUUAAUACUUGAACGGAUCUAGCAUGAAAUGAGCUUAUAAUGUCAAUAAGAUACUUCACCUUAUAAAAAAAAGGAAAAAAACCACUAGGUGAUGCUUUACAAAAGGCUUGGUUGUACACAGAUUUGAUUAUUUCAGGCUUGUAUUUACCCAAAAACUCUGAAACAUAUAAUCAAGUAAAGCUGGUCAAGGACUGAUUCAGAAGAUAGCAAACCAGUGAGUCUGGUCUGAAGCAUAUCUUAGUUCUGAUCAAUCUGAUCUUUUUAGGUAGAAGUGAACAUUAGCGAAAAUCAGUGUGUUGAGAAUUGAGAUAGCUGUUUUUAUGCUUAUCUCUAGCUGUAUAGCUUACAAUAACUAGCAACAGGUAUUAUUUCAGGGCAUCUUCUAUUGAAGCACUUGUUAACAUUGGUAGAAGAUAGCAAACCAGUGAGUCUGAUUUGAAGCAUAUCUUAGUUCGGAUUAAUCUGAUCUAUUUAGGUAGAAGUGAACAUUAGCCAAAAUCAGUGUGUUGAGAAUUGAGAUAGCUGUUUUUAUGCUUAUCUCUAGCUGUAUAGUUUACAAUAAUUAACAACAGGUAUUAUUUCAGGGCAUCAUCUAUUGAAGCACUUGUUAACAUAGGGUUUAAACUUGCAAAACAUAGUCAUUUGUCAGUGCAAAGAUUUUAAUAUGUUGGGCUGACUGGUUUGUAGGUACUUCUUUUCUUCCUUAUGUGCAACCAAAGGUGGUAUCCUAGGCUGCCACAUCAGUGCUGAUAUCUUUUGAAAGCACAUUGAUGCUGAUUUCUUUUGAAAGAUCGCACCUUAAAGGGCUCCAGAAGCCAUCUUUCAAAAUGUUAAUUUGUUAUUUACCUUGUCAUUUUAAACAAUUUUAAUACUUGUAUUAGCCGCACUGGCAAUUCCCAUCUUUAAGGAAUCUGGGUUCAUACCCUGGUAGCUGAAAUACUCUUUCUUGAGCGGAGGGUCAUUUGGAAACAACCUCUCUCCCUCCAUGAGAUAGGGAUAAGGUCUGGGUACACUCUACCCUCUCCAGACCCCACUUGUGAGAUUUCAUGGGUAUUUGUUGUUGUUGUUGUUGUAUUACCUUUUUUUUUUUUGGAAUAUUGUGACAUCAAGAACUCCUAAGAAAUUAAGUAGGUAUUGCCAACAAGUUGUGGCAUCCUGCUAAAAUUAUGGUUAUCAUCACAAGAUGUUACCAACCUCUAAAUUAAUCUUCUUGCAUAGUGAAGUAGGUUGUAGGAUACACCCUUUUUGCUUUUUGUCUUUUCUUUUGAUUUCACUAAGUUGCAAUUGCCUUGUCUUACUAAAGAAUAUCUGGUUUUGUACAUUACACACAUCUUUAGUUUACCCUCUUUCUGUAUUUGGAAACUUUUUAAUUUUGAACUUCCCAUUCUGUGGUAUGGAUUGUAACUUUCCAUAAAUUUCCCAUUUGUCACGCAACGACGGAACCUUGCUUUAACCGUGACAAAAAGAUUUUUUAGCCAUAGAAGUGCUAUGUGAUAUUUAAGUUCACAAGUUCUAAGGAUACUUUUGAUAAGUUCUCUUUCUUUCUUAACCUAAUUUCCCAGUCAUACCAACAUAUAAAAUGAACCCAGGGGAGUCUGUAUCAAUUUGUUAGUUUUCUUUACUCAAAUUUCCCUCUUAAAUGAUCCAUUCAUGAUUAAACCUUAGUGCUUGGUUCUGUCCUUUCUUUUAUCUGGCUUCAUUUUUACCAUCUUAUUGUCUGACGUUUGGUCUGGCAAGUGGUAACGGAUUCUCUAACUGAUUAUAAUUGGUUCACCUGUUUUAAAUUUUGUCUGAGGCAUACUUGUCUAGGUGUCUAUAAAAGCCUGAUGUAAUUAGUCACGUUGCUUAUCAAAAAAUGUAUUUGAUCAUCUGAACUCCAAUUACAGAUAUUUCUAGGAUUGUUUGGACAAGGUUUCUGGAAUGUAUGAUGUACUUAUUUUAUUUAUUGGAAUUAGUUUAAAUGAGUUGUGUCAUAUAUACAUGGCAAAGUCACUUUCUUUUUUUUUUCUAUCAAUUUUUGUAAUCAGACGGCUGGAUGAGUCGGUCGUUUGCAGUAUUACUUUAAUUUGAUGUAUGUGAUUUGCUUUCUUGGUUGAAUUCAAUGAAACCAGGGUGAGCUUGAAGCCGUGAAAAUGGAAUAUGCAAAUGUACAAUUGGAAUGUAAUGCUGCUGAUGAGCGUGCCAAAGUGUUGGCUUCUGAAGUGAUUGGCUUGGAAGAGAAGGUAAUUAACUGCAGUAUUCCUGUCUGUUGACCCAAAUAAUUUCAUAGGAAUGUCUAUACCAAAAUAAUUGUCAGGCAUGUAGUGAGUUUAAUUUAAUUUUAAUACUACAUGUAGUUGUCCUCUUUGUUACUGGUUUCACAUUUAAAUUUGAAAGUUGUUUAACUUGAUUACCAUAUAUCAUAGACUGAAUUAGUGUAAUGUCAUUUACAUUUUAAAAUUAUAAUUUAGUGAUAAAAUUUUAAAAUUUAAUGAUAACUUUAAUCACGUCAGGAAACACAUGAAGAACAAAAUAAAAAUAGAAAAACUUAAAGUUACUGGAGAAAUGUGUUUUCCGGCCAGAUUUGGUUGUUGGUGGUUGUUCCGUUGUUGAACUUUAAAGCUUGCUGGUUUUAGAGUUGAAUCUGGUUGGGGUUUCGGGUUGGUUUCGCUUGGAGUUCACCGGAUUUCACCGGAGAAGACACAAAGCAGCAACGUUGUGAGCUUUGAACUACUGGAGCUCGUCGAUUUGAGCAAAAAACACCUGAAAACAAAAGAAAAUUGUGAAGGGGAAGAGGGGAAAUGGACUGGCGUGGUGGAUCUGUUGUUGUUGGCCUUUCUGCCGAAGCCAAAAGAGUUGAACUGUAAAGGGGCUUGGUGGUUUUGGGUCUGGUUGUGUUUUGCUGCUUCUUUGUGGUGGUUUUAGUUGAGGAGAUGUAGCAAUGAGUGAGGUCUUUGCUGGUUCUGUUUGGCAGUGGGCGAUGGUGGCUUGCCGGAGAGGGUUUUGUGGACUUCAGGCGUGAAGAAGAAGGAAGAUGGAGGGGUUUUUCUGGUGGCUGGUUGGGUUGGAGAAGAAGAGUGUGGUUUUUGCAACGAGAGUUGUUGGUCGGAAACGGAAAAGAAGGAGAUGAUGAGGAAGGAGGGUGGCGGCUAAGGGAGGAAAAUGGGAGAGGAAAAAAUUAGGGUUUUUGCCAUUUAGGAAAUUCUUACCCCUUCUAAAAAAUAAUUCACCACCUUGACUUAAUGAAUAAGCUAUUGUUUAUAUAGAAAAUUGAAAUCUACCUAUAGUACGAUACCAUUAUCUUAAAACCAUGGGCUGAAACCACUAGUUAAAGAAAAUAUCUGUGUAUGAAAUCUUAUCUAUAUUUAAAUAAAUUUCUAGAUUGUGCAAAAUAUUUAAAUUAAUAUUAAAAAAUAUAACAAAUAAAAAUGAAUAUUAAAAAAAUGUAAUGAACGUAACUAAUGAGAUAUAAAAAAUGCAAUUUAAUAGAAAUAACGAUUUAAUCAAAAUGAACAAAUAAUUGAACGUAGUCAACUAGUUGUGACAAAAAUAAUGUAAUUAAAAUUAACUGAUAAAAAAUUCUAAAAUUUUGACAAAUAAAGAUAAAUAUCAAUAAGCUUACUUAGAAUGUAUUUUGACCUAUUGAAUAAAUAAAACUUAAAAGCUAUGAAUUUUGAAAAUGUUAGGCCAAAAUUGGGUGUCAACAAUGCCAAUUCAAAAAAAAUAAUGUUUUUGUAGGAAUUUUUGGAAAAAAAUCAAGAAAAUUGGAUACACUCUCUCUGUCCGAGUUUAUAUGACUCACUUUUCUUUUUGUCAGUCCUUAUAAACAAAAUGACACAUUUAUAUAUUUAGUAACAAUUUAAUUUUAAAAUAUCAAUUUUACCUUCAAUGAAAUAAUUUAUAGCCACACAAACAUCUAUCACUUAUUUUAUUUCACAAAUUUCAAUCUUUAUUUUUGAAUUUCAUGUCAAAUCAGAUUAACUCAUAUGAAAUGGGACGGAGAAAAUAAUAAGAUAUCGGGAAGAAACUGGAUAGUUUCCCAUAAAAGAAAUAAUUAAAAAAUCCUCUCUUAGAUUCUUUUGGUUGACAUUGGACAGUUUUUUCUUUCCCAAAUUCUCCUCAAAUCCACCACUUAAUUACCCCAACUGCCACUUCAUCUUCACUCUCCUCCCAUGGCUACUCUGCAAACUCAUCUCCAUUUUCCCAUCUCUUCUUCACCAAGAUUGUUCCAUUUCAAAAACCCCAAUUCAGUUUCUUUCUCAAAAAGGCUUUUUUUCUCCAGAAAGCUUAAUGGGUUGUUUAGUUAUGCUGAAUUUGGUGCAAAAGAUUCAUUCUUUUGUUGUUGUCAAGCUAGUGGUGAAAUUUUACCCCUUUCAUCAGCUCAGAAGGAGAAGGAGACUAAUGAAAGGCCUCCUUUUGAUAUCAAUUUGGCUUUCAUUCUUGCUGGUUUUGCUUUUGAAGCUUAUACUAGUCCUCCAGUAAAUUCUCAAUCUUUAUAUGUUCAUUUUUAUGUUUUUCUCUGCUCAGUUGGUUGGUUAUUAAACUUGUUGUUGAGGGGUUCAAUUUCUACCCUGUAAUACCCUACCUCAUUUUUGAAAAUUAAAACAUUAAAAAAAUAAUAUGAAAAAUAGAUUCUAAUAGAGCAUGUCUUUCGGAAAUAGUCUCUCUACCUCCACGAGGUAGUGGUAAGGUUUGCAUAUAAGGGGAAAAUGAAAGUGCGCUCGUGUGCACCAGCUGAAGAAAGGAGCUUUGGAAGCUUACCUUAUUAUUAUAUUAAAAGGGGAAAUCUACCCUCCCCAGACUCCUCUUGUGGGAUUUCACUGGGUAUGUUGUUGUUGUUCAUUGUAUUCUAAUAGAGCAAAUGGUAUUGAGGUGUAGUUGAUUGGCUUAAAAAAUCAAUUUUUUUUUGUAAAUAAGUGUUGAUAGGUAGUUGUAUUUCACUGGGUAUGUUGUUGUUGUUCAUUGUAUUCUAAUAGAGCAAAUAGUAUUGAGGUGUAGUCGAUUGGCUUAAAAAAUCAAUUUUUUUUUGUAAAUAAGUGUUGAUAGGUAUGUAGUUGUUCAUUUUUCUAUUUCUUUCUUUAUUAAUAAAUUGAAAAUGGACUUGAAUAGAGUGUAUGGAUAUCGGGGAUUCUUGUAGUAGCUAACUCCAACUAGUUUGUAAUUGAGGUGUAGUUGAUUGAUUGACUAAAGAUUUCUCUUUUUUUGUAAAUAAGAAUGUUAAUAUGUAUGUAGUCUUUUUUUUAUUUUAAAUAAAUUGAAAAUGGACUCGAAUAGAGUGAAUAGAUAUUGAGGAUUCUUAAAGUGGACUCCAACUAGUUUGGGGUUGAGUUGGAGUUGAUUGAUCGACUGUUGAUUCAUUUUUUGUAAAUAAGCAUGAUGAUGUGUAUUAGCUGUGGAUUGGAGGAAGGAAAUUGCUUGCCAAAGUAUCUUGCAUUGUGGGUUCUUUUCAGUUUGGUGCUGUAGAAGUCAUAGAGGACAUGCUCGUAAAGUAUUAUUUUGUGCUGCCUUUAAAGUUGUGAUCUUUGAGUUUCAGUAAUUCGUUUUCAUUCGUAUUAUUGUUUUGGUAUCUUAUCACUCUGUUGCGAUUCUAGUUUAGGAAAUGAACAUAAAUGUGGUUUCCCUAUAGUAGUCAUACCCCACAAACUCAUGAUUCCCUAUAGUAGUCAUACCCCACAAACUCAUGAUAGUAAAUGAAGGGAAUAUUUUCUUCAUAAACAUAUAAGGUGAUGAUCACUUGCCUAACUGGAUUUUCGUUGAACUAAAUUUUGCUUAGAAGGAAAUUAAGCUUGCAAAUAUUCUACAAAUCUUGAUCCCCCAAGGCCUAGCUCGAGUGGCAAAAGGUGGAGGAUUUGUGGCUUAGGUCGCAGGUUCAAGCCCCACACCAUGCAAAGCGAAGCCCGGUAUUUAAGUGGAGAAGGGUAGAGGGGCGGGCCCAUUAUCCACCGAGUUUAGAAGGCUGUGAUUGGUCCAAAGGGCGGGUCACAGACGGAUUUCUCGGUUAUCAAAAAAAAAAAAAAAAAAAAAAUUCUACAAAUCUUGAAAUGUUUAUGAAGCAAAAAGUAAUUAAGCAGUUGAGUUAUUUUCCAAGUCUGAUCCAAUUUGCUUUGUUUGAUAUUGCUUGAUCAGGACAAUGUCGGAAAGCUUGAGGUGGAUGCAGCUAAUUGCAAAACCAUAUUUCUUUCAGAGUAUGUAGUUGUUUCUUUUAACUGAAACAGAAAACUUAAACUGUAGGAACUUGAGUUAUAGGUCUGUUAAAUUGGUCGGAUCAAGUAAAGGGCACACGUAUGUUCCACUAGUGACGGCUAUGAAGAACGCUCAUAUCCGAUUGUUUUUGUCUCAUUUAGCUUAGUUUGUUUUGCCUUUUCUUUUAAAUCAAAAUCGCCUUAGACAAUAUGUCAGGUUACCCAAAACUAGAUUCAUGCAUGUGCAACUGUCAUUUGUGCGUGAAAUUUAUGACGGCCAGUUGUUCGUAAAGCUAAAGAAAGGUCUCAAUUUACCUGCUAUGGAUCCUUGGGUAAGGUAUCUGCCAUUUAACAUUAGCAAACGAUCAAAUUUCAAUUGAAACGUGCCUUACUGUACUUUCCUUAUUCAAAUGAUUGCUUCUAAUGCAUUUAUUUAAUUUGCUGACUCCUGUUUUGAUUUAAUUGCUUACUUUUCUAACCAAAUUUCAGGGAACGAGUGAUCCGUAUGUGGUGUUACAGCUAGAUAGUCAAGUUGUCAAAAGCAAGGUGAAAUGGGGGUAGGUAGUUGGUCAUGUGUUAUACUGCAACCUUUUACUCUUUUCAGUUGGAACUUCUCUAGAUCUUGUAGGUUUACUUAACAAUGAAUCAGGAUCUUUGCAUGUAGUCAACAUAUUCCUGUGCAAGUAUUGCUUGCAUAAGCCGAAUGAUAAAGUGACUAAUAAGAGAGUCUAGAAGGUCUAUUAUGGUAGCUAAGUUCAGUCUUCUCUUCGGUUUGAGAAACAUAUCAAAUUUUUAGCAAAAACUUAUACUGGAUUAAGUAGAAUUCAAUAUCUUAUUUGAAGUUCCAUGCUUCUUAAUCCUUUUAAUUUGUCAUCGAGAAGGCUAAAGGUCUACAAUUGCUAUUUUCUGUUGGAGAAUAAAGCUAUCCUUUUCUUUGUUCAAAUUAUGCACUAUUUCAAUCUUGAAACAUCAUCCAAUAACGGAAAAAUUGUUAAUUUCAUGAAUUAAUGUUUGCAGGACAAAAGAGCCAACAUGGAAAGAGGAGUUUGCUUUAAAUAUUAAGCAGCCACCUCUGUAUGAUCUUCAGGUUGAUAACUUGAGUUCAUCCUUUCUCUCUAAUGGUUUAUUAAUUAAAGGAUAGCAUUCCAGAAACUGUAACAUUUUGCUUUUGAAAUAUGACUUCAAUUUGCUGUAACUUAGCUCUUCCACAUUAGAAAGUUAAUACACGGUAUGUGGUACGCUAAAUCUCCUAAUGAUAAAUGGGCAGCUCUAGUAAGAUAUGCAACUUGAAAAGCUUUAAGCUUUGUAAAUAUGCCAAUCUUCAGUAAAGGAUGCUUCCUAUGAACACUGCUAAAUUAACUGUCUUCUGAGUGACUGCUAUACAAUUAUGGACGUGUAGGCGAUCUUCCCAUAUCUAACAAUGUCUUUCCUGCUGAAUGCUAGUUUUGUAUUUCUACUUCCUGCUGAGAUCCAUAGUAUUAACCAAAUUGGAACAAACAGAAUCAGUCUUUUAAGGUUAUUGGCCUCGGGCUAGAACUUAGGGACCCAGAACUGCACAUCUUGGUUUAUGUUGUCUAAGAUAUCCACAACAGUCUGCUUCUGUCUUUUUAGCUACAGUCUUUAAAAUGAGGAACGACUUAUUUUUUCGUUAUUUUUGCCGUUAUCUGCUCGUUAGAGGAUUUUCGGAUGCAGUAUGCUGGCAUGACAGGUUUUUAGGUGCUCUUAUUUCUCAAUUCCAGAUCUGAUGAAUUAUUCAUUACUACUGUCAGCUUGCAGCUUGGGAUGCAAAUCUGGUGACUCCACAUAAACGCAUGGGAAAUGCAGCAGUUAAUUUGGAACACCUCUGUGAUGGUACGAGCUCAAGAAAUGGCUCUCAUGAUAUUGUGCUUCAAAUAAUUGUCUAGUUAUCACGUUGGCUAAAAUAUCAUUCAUGUAAAAUAAUGUUUGGCUUCCUUUCCAACUUAUCCCAUGAAAAUGGGGGAAGAAGUUCUGAGUUCAUCUUCAGUAUGCAUUUUGGUUGUGUUUUGAUGACUAUGUUGAAGGUGUCUCAUUGCUCAUAAAACAAAUUGACAAGGGAAGAACACUUCUUAAAGGAACCAAAUUAGUUUCAAUAGUUCUACACUUCUGAAUACUAUCAUAGCUGAUAUAAGAGCUGACAUAAGGGUUGCCCCCAAGGCCUAGCUCAAGUGGCAAAAGGUGGAGGAUUUGUGGCUUAGGUCGCAGGUUCAAGCCCCACACCAUGCAAAGCGAAGCUUGGUAUUUAAGUGGAGAAGGGUAGAGGGGCGGGCCCAUUAUCCACCGAGUUUAGAAGGCUGUGAUUGGUCCAAAGGGCGGGUCACAGACGGAUUUCUCGGUUAUCAAAAAAAAAAAAGAGCUGACAUAAGGGUUAGGCUGAUGUACAGAUUCCAUUGAUGUUUUAAUUUGUGAAAAUAACAUGUGCUUUUCUAGGAGAUUCUCAUGAACUGCUGGUUGAUUUGGAUGGAAUGGGCGGUGGUGGGAAGAUAAAGAUAGAGGUAAGUUGAUUUGAAUCUGGAAUAUUCAAGGUUCAAGAUCACUAAGACCUUGUUUAUGUGUAGGAAGCAAUCAGGUGUUUGGUGGUUCAUUUUCUUUUGGUUCUUCCUGACUGGAUCACUGGAACUUCUAUCUGAAUAUUGCUUUCUGGUUAAGAGUUAAUUUGUUUUUCGAACUUGUUGAGACAAAGAAAUAAAGUUUUUUCUAUUUAAUGGAAUUUCCGACCUUCAUUUUACAAGGAUCCAUCAGACCAUCACAUUAUUUUGAUGUGUCUCUAUAGCUGAAUAGUAUGCUAAUCUUAACUUCAGAAAUAUCCUUUUUAAAUGAUACUCAAUUUGACCAUUGUUUAUCCAAUUCGAGAUUUCACUAAUUGUCCUACUAACAUGAUACAGAUUAAGUACAAGAGUUUUGAGAAAAUUGAAGAAGAAAAGAAGUGGUGGAACAUCCCAAUCAUUACAGAAUUUCUAAAGAAAAAUGGUUUUGAGUCUGCUUUGAAGACAAUUCUGGGUUCCGAGACUGUUCAAGCUCGACAAUUUGUACAGUUUGCGUUUGGACAGAUGAAGCUACUUAAUGAUGCAUAUAAUGAUUCAAAUAGCAGCAGCAGUCCUGUUGUGGAAUCAGAUGUAUUACCAGAGUCGCAGAAAUCGUCCAACUUGAAUGACUCAAGCAAGCCCCCAGAAUCAGAAAUCUCAAAUAAUUUGAAAGACACCAAAGUUGAUGGUAAAGUGGAGUUAAAUAGUGAUGGAAGGAAGUCACAUAACCGAUGAACAUGAUUCCCCUGGCACUAAGAUUUUCGAGAGCUCUCAAUCAGAUAAACAUUUCUGGAAGAAUUUUGCUGAUACUGUCAAUCAAAAUGUUGUUCAAAGACUUGGUCUCCCUGCUCCUGAGAAAAUAAAGUGGGAUAAUCUUGACUGGUUAAAUAAGAUUGGGGUACAAUCACGAAAAGAUGCAGAUGCAGGUUAUGUUGAAUCUGGUCUGGCAACUCCUGAUAAACAGGAAAAUGUUAAUGGUAGUGCAUCAACUGAACCACCUAUUCUUAACAACAUUCAGUCAUCACUUCCAGAUAUCAAGAAGGUGACACAGGACUUAUUGCGUCAAACUGAUUCCAUUUUGGGAGCAUUGAUGGUUCUAAAUUCUCAAUUCAACAAAGGAGCAGGCCUUUUCGGAAAAGGUGAUGCUAAAGAAGAUUCUUCAACUGGACUGGAAAAUGACAUUCUUGGAUAUCCCAUGAAUAAAGAUGGAAUAGUGUUGGAUGAGAAGAAAGCUGAGGAGAUGAAGUCUCUUUUCUCAACAGCAGAGACUGCCAUGGAAGCUUGGGCACUGCUAGCUACUUCAUUGGGACAUCCGACUUUCAUCAAAUCUGAAUUCGACAUAUUAUGCUUCUUAGAUAAUGAGUCAACUGACACAGAGGCAAGUUCAUAUAUUGCUGGCUAUGGGUUCUUAGUUUCUUAUCUAUCUUAGAUCUGAUUCAUUUGAUCCAAGGAAAGCUAUUCUGCUGAUAUUGGAUUCUGUAAGACUUGCAGGUAGCGCUCUGGCAUGAUUCAGCAAGGAAACGGUUAGUUGUUGCUUUCAGGGGAACAGAACAAGUAGGUUCUGGUGUUAAACACAUCUUUAAAACUUGUUGAUUUAGCUUACUUGUGGAUGACCGGUUGUUCUUUUAUCUAGACAAAAUGGAAGGAUCUUGUGACGGACUUUAUGCUAGUUCCUGCUGGGUAACAUCACAAAUCUGUACAAGCACAGGCUGGCUUUAGUUUUUUUUUCUCUCUCUACUUAGUUUUUCUGGUUUCUCUGUACUACUAAGUUGUUUUUCCUAUCACAGUAAACAGAUUCUUCCUCCGUUUCAAUUUGUUUGUCUUACUUUCCUUUUUAAUCUGUUUCGAAGAGAAUGUCUCUUUCCUUUUCUGAAAACUCUUUCAUUCUAACUUUCCACGACAUGUUUAAGACCACAAGAUUACAGGUCAUUUUGGUACCUUCUACAUAUCUUAAUUUAAGACCACAGUAUUCAAAAGUCUUCUUUACUUUCUUAAACUCCGUGCCAAGUCAAAACCAGACAAACAAAUCAAAAUGGAGGGAGUAAUUUUUCUCCUUCUCUAAGUUCUCUGAAAGUGUACUUUUAUUGAAAUACGACUGUUUACUAUGCUGAAAGAAACAUUUCCUUUUUCUUAGAGGAAUAGGAUUGGAAGAAAACCUUCCAUCCUACAUUAUUAAGUGUAGACUGCAAAUACCAUCAUAUCUAAAGGUUUUCCUGAAAAAAGUUUGAACUUCAAACAUAAUUUGAAACAACAAGAAAUAGCCAAAUGCUUUGGUAAUUUUGAAUAUGAAUUGUAUGUUCUUGCAUCUUCAUUAUUCGAAUGUUGGACAGAAACUUUAGAUGGUUAAGCAACCACUGUCCAUUUUAUUUCGUAUCCUGAGUUGUCUCCUACUCUGCAGGUUGAAUCCUGAAAGGAUAGGUGGGGACUUCAAGGAAGAAGUUCAUGUGGCACUGAAGUUCUUACUUUUCUAUCUCUAAGUGCCUGAAUUAUGAAUGUAUUCUAUUUAUAUUUAUAAUCCUUCUCAUUAUCAGAACCAGAGGUUAUUUUUGUAGGUUCACAGUGGUUUCCUAAGUGCAUAUGACUCAGUUAGGAUUAGGCUCAUCUCGCUUAUCAAAAAAGCAAUUGGCUACCAGUAAGUGGACUGUCAAACAAAACUGUACAACAUUGUUCCUCCUUUCGAAUGGCUCUUUCGUACGUUCAAGUAAAAGUCUUGGCAAACUGAAAGAGGGUCAGUCUCAAAGCAAAUGAAAUAUUUCUUCAAGUCUUUACUAAGUGGACUCGUGUCAUGAGCUUAGUGUUAUACUCCAACUCUUAAAACUUGUAACACGCUUUUGCUUUACUGAGAUGUCUAGACCUGCCUUAGUCUUUUUUCUUCUGUUUUUCCUUCUUUUCGUGUGGGUCUUGUUGCUGCUGCUGUACAUCUUAUUCUUUGCCUUCUUCGCGGUUUCUGCUUUCUUCUCUGUUUAUGAUGUACUUACUUCACCACUAAACAUUGAUGUCACAUCGCUUAUUACAAUUUUAAUGUAUUUUCCAGGGAUGAUGAUCUUGACACACCAAACAAAUGGCAUGUUUACGUGACUGGCCAUAGUCUUGGUGGUGCAUUGGCUACUCUUCUCGCUCUUGAACUAUCAUCAAGUCAACUAGCUAAGUAAGCUCCUCCUUUUCUCUGCUUAUAUCUGUAGCUUGUUUCCCAUCCAUUCUAUAUAAUUUACCAUUUACCAACAUCUCGCCAAUAGAGCAUGCAUGUGUGGUUUUCUGCUGUCUAAUUAACAUGUUUGUAGUUUUCUUUGAGAAUUUGAUGAUACUGAGUUGACCACAGAGCCAGGAGGCUUUUUAGAGAAGUUCAAAUGAUACGUCACCCACUUUUCUUUCUCAGCCACACUAUUUGUUCUAUACUUCUAUAGUGUUUUGUUAUUACGUUGUUAUGAUAUAUUAAUGCUUGACAGAUCAAUUAUGGAGAAUAUUCAGCAGCCUUAGAAAGAUCACUUGGGUGAAACCAAGAAACAUAGCACAACUCCUAAAUUGUUGGAUCAAUAUUGGUAAUACUACAAUUAAGGAGGAGAGAUGGAGGAUUGUCCCAGCUUGUAUAUGGUGGACAGUGUGGAAAGAAAGGAAUCAAAGAUGUUUUGAGGGCAAGAAGAACAAUGUGCAGAAUUUCAAGAUGAAUUGUAUAGCUCUUUAUUAUUUUUGGUGUAAACAGAAAGUCUUAGUACAGGCAGAAGAAACUUUUUUGAUGUUUUAGACUAUUUGUGACAAAAAGCACAGAUGGAGUCGGUCUAGUUUGUAAUACUUUUGGAAGAGGGGCUACUUUGAUGUAGUAUACCUGUGGAUAAAUAGAAGAAAAAGUUACCAUUCUCAAAAAAAAUAUAUCAUUAAUUCUUGGAGACUUGCAUAGAAUUCCUCAAAAUUGGAUCUUCUUUUAAGUUCCAUAUCACAUUAUUUCAUUGUUCUUACUGCUUUUAGUUCCAUGUUCCCUUUUUCCAACUGCUUUGAAAUGCCUGCCCUGAGCAGAGGGUCUAUGGGAAACAACCUCUAUCUCUACGAGGUAGGGAAAGGUUUGCGUACGCUCUACCCUCCUUAGACCCCACCUGUGGAAUGGGUAUGUAUUUUUAAGAGAAAAAGUUGUAUAAUUGUUGGUAGAACCAUAUCACAAAUGUACUUUUGAAGCUAGUCACGUAAAUAAACCUAACAAUAUUUGACUGCGUGACAUUUUGUACCCAAAACUAAUGUGCUACCAAGCUGCAGAACAUCCCUUCAAUUGUUCCAUG